CAGGAAUAUCCUUUGGCCUUAACAUGAUUCAUUUGACUCUAGCUAAUUUUUUGCACUCUUUUGAAAUACUUAAUAAACCCAAUGAGCCUAUUGAUAUGAGUGAAGCCCUUGGAAUGACCAAUGAAAAAGCUACUCCACUUGAGAUUCUAGUUAAACCACGUUUGUCUUCUAAGUAUUAUGAAUCCUUGUGAUGUGGUAGCAGUAUACUGUCAGAUAGGAUCACUCUUCAUCUGUUUCAAUAAAUCAGUUCAGUGUGUAAUUUGUAAUCUUCAACAUUGUUAAAGAUUGCCAUUGGAAUUUCUAUCAGUGGAAGUGAGUGAAGGAUAGAGAUUAUCUCAACACUGGACAUAUUUGUUCCACACAUUUAUCUCAACAUACUUUUGCUAGCAUGUACUUGGUCUAACAACAGCAGUUCCAAGUUCAGGGUUUUGAUGCAGUUUUAUAGUUCUGCUGCAUAAUUCUGAGUGUUGGUUUGUCGUGCAGUUGAGAACAAAGUAAUCUUGGUACUGUUUUUGGAUCUGGAAUUACAUGUUUUAGUGUGCUUUUAAUAGGUCUGAUGGUGUUAGGGAGAUUUAUAAAGUUUAAAAAAAUCCUUUACUACCUUGCCACUGUUUUCAUCUUUGGGAGAAAUGGAUUCACUCCCAAAGAUUGAGUACUUGCUAAAGCUUGAGUACUUAGGAUAGUUCUUGUUGAAGCUUUAUGUGUUCAGGUUUUUUAACUAGUGAUAGUGUAGAGGUAGAUUUGUCAAAACAGGGGAGGGAAAAAAAACUUAACAUCACAACACAUUUGAAGACUUGGGAAAAAAAUAUAUACUUUUUUUUUCCUUAACUAAGUUUUUAUUCUUAAGAAAGGUCCUUGUUUGACAAUUUUAAUGAAAUAGAAGCAUUAGCUUGUAUAAAUAAUAUAUCAUAACCAUUUAAAUCCAUGUCGAAAGCUAAUGUUUUUUAUUUUAAAAUUUAUUUAAUUUAACGUCAGUUUCACCCACAUUAAUAUUUUUUAUUUAUUUUAAAGUUUAUUUAAUUUAACGUUUGCUUUAUCCACAAGAUAUUUUUUUAUUUUAAAAUUUAUUUAAUUUAGUGUGUGUUUGAGUCUCACUAAUAAUUUUUAUUUUAAAAUUUAUUUAAUUUAAUGUGAACUACAAACUAUAUAAAAACUAUUUUUAAUAUCAAUUUAAAUUGUGUCGAUUUCACCAACAUUAAUGUAAGUAGUUUUGUUUAUCAAUAAUGAAUAAAUAAAUUAAAAGGAAACACUUUAAGGAUAUUUCAACUCUUAUAUAAGAACCAAUAAAACUUCACUUUGGAAGAUUUUAUAUUAUUGUCACAAACAGUUUGUUAAAAAAUGAUAAACUUUUUUUUUUACCUUACCUAGGUUUUUAUUCUUGAGAAUGUCAUUGUUUGUAUUAGCUUAUAAAAAAUAGAUUCCCAAAGCAUUAGCUUGUAAAAAUAAUAUACCACAAGCAGCAUUCAAAUCAAUUGGGAAUGAAACUCCUUCAAUCAUACACAACAAACUACAAGAAAAUAGUUAUUAUUUAACAUAUCCAAAGAAGACACUAAUUAACUAAUAGAGUUGGAUGCAUGUGUGAUUUUAAAAUCGUUGAUACUAAAUCAUUAAUAUUGAGACUCUAAGUAACCGACGCUAAUUUGUCAUUCAUUUUUAAUUAAAAUAAUUUAGUGUUGGUUUGGUUGACACUAUAAUGUUUAAGUGUGGGCAAAAAAUCCAAAUUACGAAAUCCAAUCCAUAAUUAUCCAAAUUCAUAUUUUUGGAUUUUAAAUCCAAUCUAUCUAACUGGAUGUGGAUUAAAUAUAGAUUGGAUACAUUUUUGGAUUAUCCAAAUUGCAUUUUGGGUUGGAUUUUGACUUGACCCGAUCCAGGUUGAGCCAAGACACUCCGGGCCCAGGUUGAACAAAGUCGACCAAAGUCCACGUCGAGCCUAGUCGUCCGGGCCCAAGUCGAAUCAAAUGGUAUGGACCAAAGUCGAGCCGAGUCAACCCUAGACCAAGUCGAGCUGAGUGGCCGAUAUUGAGUCGACCCGAGUCAGCCGGGGCUGAUAUCAAGCCGAGUUGGCCCAUGCCAAUAUCUAGUCUACCCGUUCCGGGCCCAUGUCGAGCUGAGUUUUUCGGGUCCAAUAUGAAGUUGAGCGGGCUCGGGCUGAUAUCCAAACGACCAGGCCAUGGCUGAUGUCGAGUCGAGCUGGCCCAGCUCGAUGUUGAGUCGAGCACGUCCGGGCCGAUGUCGAGCCGAGCGGGCCAAGACCGAUAUUGAGUCGAGCGAGCUCGGGCCGAUGUCGAGUCAUCCGGGCCCGGGCCAAUGUCGAGUCGUUAGAACCCGAGUCGAUGUAAAAUCGUUCUGGCCCGGGCUGAUGUCGAGACUUCCGGGUCCGAGCCGAUGUCGAGUCGUCUGGUCCCAAGUCGAUGUCGAUUCGUCUAGGCCCAGGUCAAUGUCGAGUCGUUUGGGCCUGGGCCAAUUUCGAGUUGUCUGGGCCCGGGCCGAUGUCCAGCCGAGUUGGUCCGCAUCCAAGUUGAGUCGGCUUAGGCAUAGUUGGAGCCAAAUUAGUCUGUGUCUAUAUCAAAAUAAAUUUAAUGUAAUUGAUAAAGUGAAUUUAAUCUAAUUAACAAAGUGGAUUUAAUCUAAAUUUAAUCCACUUUAAAUGGAUUUUAAAAAAAUUCAAAUAAAUUUGAUAUAAUUAUGAAUUUUAAAUUUAAUCCAUUUAUUUAGAUUUGGAUUUAGAUUGGAUUUUCAUCAUCACCCUAAUAAUGUUUUUUUAUUUUAAAAUUUAUUGAAUUUAGCAUUGAUCCAUGCUAAUAUUUUUUAUUUUAAAAUCAAGUACACAUUCAAAAUCUUCAUUCGUAAGUAUGUUUUUUCAUAAAUUUUCUAAAAUAUGUAAUUCCAAGGUUUUAAGUACAUUUCAAAUUGUAUUUUCCAAAAAAUAUAAAGAUUUAAAAUGUCAUUUUUUUCAUCUUUCUACUAUACUAAAAAAAGUACAUAAAGAAAUUAUAGAAAGGAUGCAGGAAGCAAUUUCCCACUUUCCUUUUCUUCCUAGUUGAUCAUUAUUACCAACCGUCUGCAUAUGCGCUGCUCUUGUUUUUGGUCCACAUGAGUCAGAGUGACCAUAGAAUCUUAUCUUCCUGGUCAACUAUCCUUGCUCACCAAGGUUCUCAAAUUAUUGACUAUUCUUCAACUUUAUGAAAUAAAAACAAAUAUGUUUCAGCCACCUUAAAAUAACAAUUUUUGUCUCCAUUAUGCAGAACAUACUAAUAGAUUCUAAUACUUGCAGAUCAAGCACACCAACAUGGGGUGACAUGUUAAACAAAAUGACCUCAUAUUGGUCCAACCAUGCGGCCAUGCACAAGACCCUAUACGCAUCUUCUCCCUAUAAAACCAGAAAGGAAAACAAGUUCAAAUAUAUUCCACCAUAACAAGCAAAAAUGGACUUUCUCCUAAAUUGCUUCACCUUAAAAAUCACCACUCUUAUUGUAUCCUUCCUUUCUCUAUACUUCUUCAUUUUCUAUCUAUAUCGGAGAAAUUCUCGUGGAAAACAGGCUCCAAUAGUGAAAGGUGCAUGGCCAAUACUUGGUCAUCUUUCACUCUUGAAUGCCUCACAAACACCCCAUUGGACUUUGGGUGCUUUGGCUGACAACUAUGGACCCUUGUUCACCAUCAAGUUCGGUGUCAAAGAGGCCUUGGUGCUCAGCAACUGGGAAAUGUCCAGGGAACUCUUCACCACCAACGACCUUGCCGUUUCAUCACGUCCUAAACUCGUUGCCGUGGAAGUCAUGUCCUACAACCAAGCCUUUGUAGGGUUGUCACCAUACGGAUCUUAUUGGCGAGAGCUUCGAAAGAUUGUGACUUCUGAGUUUCUCUCCAACCGCAAAAUAGCGCAACUCAGCCACAUUCGUGUCUCAGAGGUUCAAACCUCUAUGAAAGAGCUCUGCAAUUUAUGUUAUACUAGUGUAAACAACAAGAACAAAAAGGAGAAUGAAUCUUAUAGUGCUGCUACUUUGGUGGACAUGAAGGAGUGGUUUGCACAUUUGACUUUCAACAUUAUAGUGAGGAUGGUGGUGGGGAAGAGGUACUUUGGUGUGGUGCAUGUGGAGGGAAAGGAGAAGGCAGAAAGGUUUCUGAAGAACUUAGAGGAGUUCAUGAAUUUGAUGGGGACUUUCACUGUGGCUGAUGGAGUUCCUUGCUUGAGGUGGUUUGAUUUCGGGGGCUAUGAGAAGGCCAUGAAAGCAACCGCUAAGGAAAUGGACAAGCUGUUGAGUGAGUGGUUGGAGGAGCACCGUGAGAAGAAGGGUGAUGGAGACUUUAUGGAUGUGAUGAUUUCAGCACUGAAUGGGGCUCAGCUUGAAGGGUUUGAUGCUGAUACAAUAUGCAAAGCCACUUCCCUGGUUAGUACUACAAUAUAUUUAAAUACUUGCCAUCAUUUCAAAGAUUGAAUGUAUUCCACUUUAUUUCUCUGUUUUGAAUGAGAGGACCCUUUUGAUGAAACUUGAACAUAUUUGCAGGAAUUGAUUUUGGGUGGAACUGAUACAGCUGCUGUUACUCUUACAUGGGCACUAAGUCUGCUAUUACGAAAUCCUCUUGCAAUGGAAAAGGCUAAAGAAGAAAUUGACAUGCAUAUUGGCAAAGAUGGACACGUAAAAGAGUCAGAUAUAAGCAAACUUGUGUAUCUUCAAGCCGUAGUUAAAGAGACAUUGAGAUUGUAUCCACCAGCACCUCUUUCAUCACCUCGUGAAUUCAUAGAAAAUUGCACCUUAGGUGGCUACCACAUCAAAAAGGGAACUCGACUGAUGCAUAACUUGUGGAAGAUCCACAGAGACCCCAGUGUUUGGUCAGAUCCAUUAGAAUUCAAACCAGAAAGGUUCCUCACCACUCACAAACAUGUGGAUCUUAGGGGUCGCCAUUUUGAGUUGCUACCCUUUGGAAGUGGGAGAAGAAUUUGUGCUGGAAUGUCCCUUGGCUUAAACGUGAUCCAUUUCAGUUUGGCUAACAUGUUGCAUUGCUUUGACAUCUCGAAUCCUUCGGCUGAACCUAUUGAUAUGACCGAGUUCUUUGGAUUUACCAAUACCAGAGCUACUCCACUUGAGGUUUUGGUUAAGCCACGCCUAUCUCCAAACUACUAUGAAGCUUUAUAAUCCUUAUGUAAGGCAUUGUCCAUGGUUCAAAGUUAUGGUUGCGGUUGCAGUUACAAUUUCCUCGCAAAACUUGACAUUACAGGAAAUUGUGGACAAAUGCGGACUAAGUGAUUGUGAUGAGUUGAAAAACCUUUAUUUUGCGGCUGAAGUUGCAGUUGUUAACUUCAAUUUAGAACUACGGUUUUGUGAGUCUUAUAUGUUGUAUGUGUUCAAAUCGAAUCAUGGUUUGUGGUCUAUUCUAAGUUAUGUGAACUUGUGAUAGUUUUGUUCCUAGGCAGAUUUAUGUCACACGUAUUUAGCUGUCAUGAAAUAAAUGUGAUCUUGUAAUAAAUUUAUUUGUAUCACUGUAUGGGUUUGUGAUUUUUUGGAGAAGAUAUUAUCAUAAAAGAAUAAAUGAGAUGAAGUUGUUCAUUCCCAAUUUCCGAGGGUGCUUUGGAUUUAUUCUAUGAAUGAAUUGCUUAAUUGGUUAACCGUGAGUGAUGAAGUUGUCUGUGCAAUAAUUGGAAACCAGAGGCAAAAUAGAGAGUGUACUAAUUAGCGUAGCAAAUAAUAAGAAAGUGAUGCAUAACAGUGAACUAUAGGACAAAUGAUCUAAACUGCAAAAUCCACAAUUGAAGCUUGAAAAGUAAAGGUGUUUGGCUAUUGGGGUUGUUGGAUUUGGUUAAGGGGAGGGGUAGUAAGUACUUAUGUUCCACUUAGAGUGAUUAUUUUUUCACCCUCAUUUUGUGUAUGUACUAAUUAUAUAAAUAUAUAUAUAUAUAUAUAUAUCACUUUCUGAUCUUAAAGAAAUUAAAAGAAAAAUAAAACUUUAAUUUAAUGUCAUGUCAUGUUAAUAAACUGGAAAAUUAUUAUUGUAAUAUAAAUUUGUAAAAUUCUAUUACAAAUUAGAAAAUAAAUACGACCACACUUUUUUCAAUUAGAAGCGAAAAUUUAUAUAUAUGUUAGGUUUUUGUCUUCAUUAAAACCAACACAUGUGGUAACCUUCCAUUUCCGGUUUGAAAAUAUGUAAACCUCUUUUAUCAAAAUUAAGAACUCAUGAUAAUAUCUUUAUACUAAAAAAUAAAAAAUAAAUAAAUGCUUUGUUUAUUUACCAAUAUAACUUACCCAUUCAUUUAUACCUUUUUCUUUUCAAAAUUUUAAGAUUAUUUCAUAUUUUGUUAUAAAAAAAUAUUAUAUUACACUGACUUUGUUAUUAAAGAAAGAGUAGAUAAUUAAGUGAAAGAGGAAAAAGUAAUGAUGGAGGUACAAAUUUUUCUAAGUUAACUUCUUUAUCUUGAGUGAAAAUGUAUAAAUUAAUAUCAAAAUUAAAAGAAUGGAUUGACAGUUUUUUUUAUGGACAAAGAAUAAUUAAAUUAAGAUAAAGGGACACUUUAAGAGUGUUCCAACCCUUUUACAUAUUUCAUUAUUAGCUAGCUUAAACUAAAAUUAAAAUUAGCUGAAUUUAUAGCACAACAUGUAACAAGCUUAAGCUUCCUAAAUAGCUUUACAACCCACGGCCAACACACCCACUUUUUCUGCAUAAAAAACCAGCAACACUCUUCCGCUCCCUUCACUCUCCAUGAGCCUUUAGAGUUGCUAAACCCAAUUCAGUGCGUUGAUAGAUAAACCAAAUUCUACAUUCUUCUGCGUAAUUAUGCAGAAUUAAAAACCAUAUUGUACUAAUAACAAGUUGCAAUUGCAAUGGCCAUAAGAUUUUGUACUGGUGAUGAAUUAACAACUAUGGAUGGAUCCUAACCCCAAACCAAAAAAAAAAUAUACAAAUUCAAACGAUUCAUAAUUAUAUAAGUUUCUAACAGAAAAUGGUAGAUUUAUGAUAGGACAUGAAUAAGCCACUUGACAAAAGAAUAUGAUGCUUUUAAGAAAAAAACCAUCCAAAGGUCUUUAAUUAUAUUUCUAUAUUUUUUUUCUAAGUUUUAAAAGUCUUGUCUUGAUAUUUGCGUGUUAUUUCUUGGGGAAUUCUUUGUAUUUUUUUUCCAAUUUUCCCAUAUAAAGUCUUGUCUUUUCAUUUUUCUUAGCAAUAAUAGAAUGAAAAAUUUGACUUAUUUAAAAAUAUUCAGUAUUAUUGGAGCAUUUUUGUCCGUUCACUACUUUAUUGUUUGAUAGAAUCUUAUCGUCCGGAACAAUAAUUAAAUGGUGCAUAGAAUUCAACUGUGUAAGGGACCUAUUUGGAUUAGAAAGUACUCAUACUUUGUUCAACUAAGUCACGUACUUUGUUUCCUUCUAUCUUUUUUCACGAUGACAGAACAGUAGGGAUCAUCAGUGUUUUGAUCUGUAAAUUUAAAAAGAGUGUGAAGAUGGAAAAAUGAGUGAGAGAUCAUUUGUUUCUUCUCUCUCAAUAGUAUAGAAAGUCAGCAAGAAAUAUUUUUGAAAUUUGGAAUCAGAGUUAUUAAUACUCCGAAUCAACAAUUGAUUAUGUUUUUCUUUUUUUUUAGGUGGAUAAUCAAUUAUAAAUAUGUAAAAUUAUGAAAGAUAAUCAAUUAUAUUUUGUCGAGUUUCUUAAAGAGAGUUGUCUCACGUCCUAGGUGAUCUCUACUUACCCAUAUGUGUUGGUUUCAGGUAUAGAUAUCCAUUUGUUGAAGGUCGUUCGAGCUUUUUCUAGGAGUAUGACAUGGAUUACUUUGGUGUUGAGUGUCUGGUACUCAAAUUUUAGCUCGAGACAUUUUCUCUACCUCUUCUUACCCUUAAAAAGCAAGGGCACCAUGCGUCCUUGAACUGGUAACCAUCUUUCGAUUAACCUAGCUUCCUCCGUCUCUCGAGACCAACAAAAGAUAGUACAUGAAUAUUCACCUGUUAUCCAUCGAUUAUGCCUUUCAACCUGAUUUUAGACCCUGACUCACCUCUUUAAAUUGAUAAUCGAUUAUGGAUGAAAGAGAAUAGAAGAUAAUCGAUUUUUGUUCUGUUCUUCCUUCUUCAUCCUGUCAUCCGUGGUUUGUUUCCUACAUCUUUCUUUACUCUUUUUUUAAUUAUAUCCUCUUUUUUCCAACACAACAAAUCCAAAAUAGUUAGAUAAAUAUCAAAUAAACGAGACAAUCUUUUAAUAAUAAUAAUAAUUUUAGAUGGACUGAGAUAUUAUGUGAAUAGUUUUAUUGGUCUAGGAAAUUAUAUCUUUAAUUGGGAAAAAGGGAUCAAUAAUAAUAAAUUGAGAAAGGAAACAAAAUGAGGAUAAGGAAUAGUGGUAUUAAUUCACUACUAAAAUUAACAUUACUAUUAACUUUAUGUAAUAUAAUAUGUAAUGAUACUUUUUUUUAACAUGUUAAUGUAGUUUUUAUGAAUACAUUAAAUUGUAUUUUUUAAUAUAAUAGAUAAUUAAAUUUCAUAAUAUUAUUAAUUUAUAUAUCAUAAUAUUUUUAAAUUUUAAAGAUGCACAAAAAAUUUCUUAGCCAAAUUUUAAAUACUGAUUUACUUUUAAAAUGUAUUAAUUUUUUAAUAUUAAAAUUAUAUAAAUACAUUAAUUUAACUAACAAAAUUAUUUUAAAUUAAUAAAUAAAAAAUUAUAUAAUUAUAAUUAUAUUUAAAUUUAAAUUUUAAAAUUUAUUUAUUUAUUUAUUUUAAUUCUACAUUGUUUUAUUCUUUUAUUUAUAAUUAAAAUUUUAAAUUAUUUUAAUUAACUAAAAUAUACACAAAAUUAAUUAUUAUUUAUUUCUUUUUUUAUAAAAAAAGUAAACUUGUAAUCUUAUAAUUUAUACAAUUAAAAAUAAUUCAAAAUAUCCUUACAACUAUCACAUCACUCACAUAUUUUAAUAAACUUUCCUCACCCAUCUAAUGUAAGAUACUCUAAUCCAAAUAAUGUAAACUUUCUUCACACUUUUUUUUAUCAAAUAUUUACAUUUAUACUCUCUCACACCCUCAACUUUUUACUUCUCAAAUCAAAUAAAACAUAUGUACCUUUUAAUAAAUGUUCAUUGACGAAUGUGAGCUUAAAAUUAUUACACAUCGUUUUCUUAUGCUUUCAUUUAUAUUAAUUUAAAAUCUAAAUAAUUGGUAGUUAAAAUUUUGGUAGCUAAUUAUAUACCAAUUUAGAAACUAUUUAACAAUAAUAGAAACUAAUUUAGAAAUUAAAAAAUUUGUUAGUUUCUAAAAUAAUCUCUAAUUUAGUAACUAUAACAAAUAAUUAUUUUUGUCUCUAAAAUUAAUUUGUUAGUUUCUUGUAGUGAUUAAUUUGUAUGAGAAUUUAUCUUUUAAAAACUUAAUAGUAAUCAAUUUGAUAAAGAUUGAGAAAAAAAAAACAUGGUUUUGUCUUUGCAAAAAUCGUUAGUUGACCAUCAUGAUAAACUUUUACAACACAAAACUUACUAUAAAAUAGAUUAAGAAAAUAAGAUUGAAAAAACUAUUUAAGUUAUUCUUGUGAAUGAAAGUAAAUCUCUAUAUCUAUUAUAAUUAAAUAUGAGAAUUAUAUAUAUACUCAGAAAUUCAGAGUAAUGUUGGUGUCAAUAAAUCAUAACCCAAUCCUUGAAGAAAACUUAUAUUUUUACAUUUUUAUUGAUAUUUUGAGUUCAAUUUAAUUAUUAUAUUUUAAAUUUCAUCUUCAUUUGACUUAGAUUUUUAGAUAUGGAUAUAAUAUUACCAAAUUCAAAAGUAUCUUAAUUUUUUUUAAAAUAAAGCUAAGUUUUGAAAUUGUUGUUAAAUUAGUCCAUCUUAAUUUAGGUUUGAUUUUCAAAAAUUUGGAUUCAAACACAAUUUAUCUAUUAAUAUAACAUGUCUUAAUUUUUAUUAUAUCUCUAUACUUUUCUACUAAAUUUAAAAAGUUGUUAUUUUUGGGAAUUCUUUGUUCACUAGGAUAGAAAAGCAAUAAAUGUGUUUUUGUUUGUUUUCAAUUAAUUAAAAGGAUUGAAAAAGACUGAUUUGAGAAGGAAAAAGAAAGACAAUGAAACAUUAAAUCCUCUGCUCAUACAAACACAACCAUAAAUUCUUGUCUUUUCAAUUUUCUUACCAAUAAUAGAAUAAUUUAUUUUUUUAUUUAUUUUAAAAUAUUCAGUAUUCUUGGAGAUUUUUGUCUCAUUCACUACUUUAUUGUUUGUAGAAUCUUAUCGUCCGGAACAAUAAUUAAGUGGUACAGUUGUAGCCUUACUUUCUGUGCCACUUAUCCUAUGCUAUGCUCAUAUUCGUUAUUGGUGUUGCUUAUAUUCUUACAAUUCUUAAGAUUUAUAUAGUUAUUAAUGUAAAUUGUUUAAAAAUAUAUAUAUAUAUAUAUAUAUAUAUAUAUAAUAAAAAAUAUUAAAGUAAUAAUAUUGUAAAAAUGGAUGUAUGGUUUUUAAAAGUAUUAUUUUUCUUCAAUUAAUAUUAGGGUAUGUAUUAUUUUUCUUUAAUUAAUAUCAUUCUUAUGGAUUUGAAAAGAUUUGAUGUGAAAAUGGGGUUAUUUGGAUUAAUAGAAGAUGAUAAGAAAUAAAGAAAAAGUUUAAAAAAAGUUAAUGAAUGAUGUGAUAUGUGUUAUUGAUAAAAUAUUAUUUUGUAAUAAAUAAAAGUGUAAGAUUACAAAUAUAUCUAGUUAAUAUUAAAUUAAAUUAAAAUAUGAUUAAAUUGUUUUAUGUAUAAAUAAAUAAAAAAUAUGUAAAAAUACUUUACAAAUUUUUUGAUAUAUAUAUUUAGUACAAAUAAAAUGGUUAAUUUUUUUAAAAAAUUAACAAAUAUAAAUUCUAAAUUAUUUAAUAUAUAUAAAUAAAAUUAUUAAAUUAUUAAAAAUUCUAAAUAAAUACAAUUUGGAAGAAAAAUAUUUAAACUUUUCCAUAGGGCCAAAAUGUAAUAGCAUUUACUCUAUAUCGAUUUUUUCCAGAAUCUCUUCAAAGACACAAGGAAAAAAAAUAAUUAUUCUUUGCUUUUCUAUCCACAUGAAGAGUAUUCAUGCGGAAACCUACACUUAGAUUGGAAGGGGAUAUGUGAGGAUUUGAAGAAGAGAUGUGAGAGGAGAGGAAAAUAUGUGUAAGAUUUUGAGGAAAUGGAUGUGUGAGUGCGUGAGAAGAAAGUGUAAAGAAAGUGAAGUAAUUUGAAAUAUUAAAAAAAUAAAUCAGAAAAUAAAUUAGAUCUUACAUAAAUAAAAAAUAUUAUUUUUUAAUAUUAAAAACUAUCUAAUGAAAAAUAAAAAUAUUACAACAACAAAAGUAUAAUCUAAUUAACAAUAAUAAAAAAGAGUUUUAUAACAAAUUAUAACUCAUAAAUAUAAUAAUUACAAAAAAAAUAUAUUUAUAAAAACACAACAAUAAAUUAAAUAAUAAUUUUUUUAAAAUAUACUAUAAAAUUAAAAAAUAAAUCACAUCUUACAUGAAUAAUAAAAAAAAAUGUCCUUACCACUUGCAUAUACAUAUUAAAAUCCAAUUUGUGUAACAUAGAGCAUGGGAUACACAAUCUUCUCUUGGAUAAAAUAAUGGAUCUAAAUGUUUCUGCAAUUGGACUUGUUUCUCUAAUCGUCUUCUGUUUCUUUUUCUAUGGCCACUUCAAAUUUUCUCAAGGAAAAGAAGCUCCCACAGUUGCAGGUGCAUGGCCAAUACUUGGUCACCUUCCAUUGAUGAGUGCUUCAAAGUCACCCCACAGAACCUUGGGUGCUUUGGCUGACAAAUAUGGACCCAUUUUCACCAUCAAACUUGGUGCCAAAAAAGCUUUGGUAAUCAACAACUGGGAAACGGCAAAGGAAUGCUUCACAACAAACGACAUCGUCGUUUCCUCUCGCCCCAAGCUUGUUGCCGCAGAACACAUGAGCUACAACAAAGCCAUGUUUGCCUUAGCACCCUGUGGUCCCUAUUGGCAAAAAAUAAGAAAGAUUACAGUCUCAGAGAUUCUCUCCCCUCAGCGAGUGAAGCAACUACGUCAUGUUUUUGAGUCAGAAGUUGAAGAAUCGAUCAAGGAGCUCUCUAACUUUUGGUGCAGCAACAAGAAUGAGAGCGGUUAUGCCUUGGUGGAGUUGAAGCAAUGGUUUUCUCAUCUGAUAUUCAACAUGGUCCUUCAAAUGAUUACAGGGAAGCGAUAUUUUAGUGCAGCAACUGUGGAUGAUGAGAAGGCACAGAGAUUUGUGAGGGCUGUGGAGGAGUUCAUGCGCCUGUUCGGGGUGUUCACAGUGGGAGAUGCUGUUCCAUGGUUGAGAUGGUUUGAUUUUGGAGGGCAUGAGAAGGCAAUGAAAGAAACUGCAAAAGAGUUGGAUAUUAUUCUUGGUGAGGAGUUAGAGGAACACAGAAAAAGGAAGGGUUUGGGUGAGAAGGAUGAUGAAGUUCAAGAUUUCAUGGAUGUGAUGAUUUCAUUGUUUGAUGGAAUAACUAUUGAUGGGUUCGAUGCAGAUACCGUCAUCAAAUCCACUGUACUGGUAUGGAUCUUUAUUGCAUCUUAUUUUUUUUAUUAAAUCACAUUAUAACUUUAAAUUUUAUUGUACAAAAAUUAAGGUAUUAAAACCAAAACCAUUUAUGAAUUUGAGAAAGAUAAACAAAUAAUAUUAAAUAUUAAAUAACCAAAAUGUUGUGAAGAUGUUAUGAAUUAGGGAUUUAGUGUAAUUUUUUCUUGUAUCUCUAUCACUUUCUUCUUAGAUUUCAUACUUUGAAAAAUACUCAAAUUAUCUUUUAAUAUUUUUUAUUAAAUAUUUUUUCUUUAAUUUCGGAAUAUGCACGUUAACUUCCUGAUUUAUAAAAUUUAGAAGUUAAAAUUUGUGUUUGGGAUUUUACAAUAUUUCUGAUUGUACAAUUCAAAAUUUCAGAUUGUAUAAUUCAAAAUACAAUUUUUUAUAUCAAAUUAUAGAAUUUAAAAUGAAUAAUUUUAGAAUUUUUUACGAAUAUAAGACUGCAAGAUAAAUUAUGAGAUGAAGAAAUAAACUUUUAAAUUUUUAAAAAUGAGGAUUAUGGGGAUAGAUCACCUGUCUCACACUUGGCUUAUGCGGGUUAGGCGAAAUGAUUUAAAUUCUAAAUUUGGUAGCAAAAACUUUGUAGCUAAUUAGAUACAAAUUUAGAAAAUAUUUAACAAUAAUAGAAACUAAUUUAGAAACCAAAAAUUUGUUUAGUCUCUAAAAUGGUCUCUAAUUUAGUCAAUAUAGUAAUUAAUUAUUUUUUGUCUAUAAAAUUAGUUUCUAUUUAAUGAUUUUCUUGUACUGAUGAUUUGUUUAUGUUAUAGAAGAACUUGUGAAUAAGAUCAUAUCCUUAUUUUGUAGUUAGUGAUUGCAGGAGGAACUGACACAAGUAGUACUCUUCUUACGUGGGUAAUAUCUUUGAUUUUGAGAAAUCCUUUGGUAUUGGAAAAAGUAAAAGUUGAACUAGACAUUCAUGUUGGAAAAGAGAAAUGUGUAAGUGAGUCUCAUAUAAGCAAGUUAACAUAUCUUCAAGCCAUAGUCAAGGAAACAUUAAGAUUGUAUCCUCCUGGUCCUCUUUUGGCACCUCAUGAAAUUAUAGAGGACUGCAUUUUAAGUGGUUAUAAUAUAAAAAAAGGAACUCGUCUAAUCACAAAUCUUUGGAAGAUUCACACAGACAAGAAUGUUUGGGAAGAUCCAUUGGAGUUCAAACCUGAAAGGUUUCUUACAACUUACAAAGAUCUCGAUGUCAAAGGUCAUCAUUUUGAGCUAAUACCAUUUGGAGGUGGUAGAAGAAUGUGUCCAGGAAUAUCCUUUGGCCUUGAAGUAGUGCAAUUCUCUCUUGCUAGUAUUUUGCACUCUUUUGAAUUUUUAAGUUCAUCACCUGAUCCUAUUGACAUGACCGAAACCUUUGGAUUAACCAACACCAAAGGCACUCCACUUGAGAUUCUUAUUAAACCACGUCUAUCUUUUAGUUGUAACGAAAACAACUAAUCCAUGUGCUAGCUAUGCUGUCACAAUUUGUUUUCAUUUAAAGUACUUUUUUUCUAUAAUAUUGUUCAAAGUCUUUGUUAUCUUUGUAUUUUCAUUCAAAGUGCUUGAUAUAUUUGUACUUUCCUUCAAAGUACUUGAUAUAUUUAUAGUUUAUCUUGGUAAACUUUGAAACUCUUUCAAAUAUAUAUUAUUUUUAGUAGACUUUCUUUAUUGAGUCAGGUUAGAGAGUUGGACCGUAUUUAGAGAUUCAUUGCUUAAUUCUUAAUCGCGGAUUGAAGUGAUUAAUCCUAUUUGAACGUAAUUGUAUUUAUGUUGUCGAUCAGUUCAUUAAUGUGGAUUACGAUCUCGAUCGGUCACUGAUAAGUCUCGAGAGAUUACAUUAGUCGAUACAAUUAAUGAAUUGCUUAAUUGGUUAACCGUGACUGAUGAAGGUGUGCAAUAAUUGGAAACCAGAGGCAAAAUACAGAGUGCACUAAUUAGCUUAGCAAAUAAUAAGAAAGUGAUGCAUAACAGUUUCACAUAGAAAGAGUUUUGCAAAUCCUUCAACGGGUGGGUGCCAUUUUUACAUGCACCACAUCUCUUUUUUCAGGUAAGUCACGUACUACUUUAAUAUUUAUGUACCCUUUGAUUAAAUGCCUCAUUGGUCAAUGAGCUUACGAUUAUAACACAUCAUUUUCUUAUGCUUUCAUAUUAUAUUAAUAUUCAAAUGACCUACACUGCAAAAUGAUGUGUUAGUAUAACGUGUUUUAAUUUUAAUUAUAUCUCUAUACUUUUUUUCUAUUAGUUUUAAAAGUCUUCUCUUGAUUUGUGCGUCUUAUCUUUAGUCGGGGAUUCUUUGCAUUUUUCCAAUUUUCUCAUAUGUACCACGAGGAACAAAGUCUUGUUUUUUGAAUUUUCUUAGCAGUAAUAGAAUGAAAAUUUUGACUUAUAUGUAAAAAUAUUAUUCAGUAUUACUGGAGCAAUUUUGUCCCAUUCACUACUUUAUUGUUGAGUGGUUCAAUAUUUGUGGCUGAAGACAUCAUAUAUAUAAUAUAUGCGAACCUUAUAUUAUUUUAAUUUAUUUCUUUUACAUGAACUUGGACUUUAUUGAUUCUGGUCUAAAUUAUACACCUUAACCUACCCACAUUCACAAUUCACUUAUGAACAUCUUUUUUCUUAAAUAUCAAUUAACCUUGGAAGAUAUAUACAACAAAUAUCAAGCUAUUAAGGUCAAUAUCUUGUGUUCAUAACACAAUAUUUUUUUCUCAACAAAUCCUUAAAAUAUAUCCUUAACUAUUUUUAAUUAAAUAUUUUAAAACAUAUAUUUUUUAAUUGUUUUUUAUCGUUUAAUUUUUUAUUAAUUAAGUGACAUGAUUAUUAUUUUUCUUACCAUCUUGCGGUUAAUAUAAAAUAAAACAAUAUUAUAGUUAAUGUAAAACAAUAAGCUUAACUAACUUUAUUUUUUCAUAAAAGAAUUAUUAGAUAACGAGUUUAUCAUGUUUUUUUAGUUGUAAUUUUCAUGUCAUCAUAUACCAUAAAAAAAAGAUCAUCACCAUUGAUAUAAAUAGCAAUUAUCAAACACUUUUUCAAUGAAAAUAAUAAAAAUCACUUUUCAAUUUACAUUAAUCACAAUUUAGUUUUAUAUUAAACACAAAACAUCACAUUUUUAAUAUGUGGAAACAAGUAGCAGAGUAAUGGAAUAAAAUAAAAGUAAUGUAAACCACACAAAAUUAAACAAAAAAAAAAAUUCAAUUUUUUUUUUAAUACUAUUUAAUAAAAAUAACCUAGACCUUGAACCCUAAAUUCAUAGUAUUUUGAUUUUUAAAAAAAAUAAAUUUUGUCUUAUUUUUAAAAAAAAAUAUACAAUUUGAUCUGUUUUAUUAAAUUAACAUAAAGAGGAGGAAGUGGUGACAUGAUGUGACAAAGUUAUAAACGCACGUAUAAAAAUGUUAUAAAGUAUGAUUUAAAUUAGUAAUUACAAUUCACUGCAUAAUAAUUUAAAUUUUAAUAUUUUGAAACUUAACCUUAUAUAUUUUAAAUAUUUUUUAUGGCAGCAAACUUUGAAAAUAGUUAUUAAUUAUUAUUAUUAGUGGUAGUUAUAUCUUAUAAAAAUUACAACACAAUUUCCAAGUAAAAUCAUACUUAGUCUUUGAAAAGUUUGACUUUUCCUUCUCUCUGAAGGAAUGAAGGAUCUAUUUAACCACUCCUACUUUACCCUACCUGAAACACACAGAGCCUCAACUCGCUCAAAUGGAUUUGGUUGUAAAUUCCUUGAAUGCAACCACCAUUGCACUCGCUUCUCUAAUUCUCUUCUGUUUCUUUCUCUAUGGUCUCUUCAAAUUUUCUCGAGGGAAAGAACCUCCCACAGUUGCAGGUGCAUGGCCAAUACUUGGUCACCUUCCAUUGAUGAGUGGUUCAAAGUCACCCCACAGAACUUUGGGUGCUUUGGCCGACAAAUAUGGACCCAUUUUCACCAUCAAACUUGGUGCGAAAAGGGCUGUGGUAAUCAACAACUGGGAAAUAGCAAAGGAAUGCUUCACCACAAACGACACAGUCGUUUUCGGUCGCCCCAAGCUUGUUUCGGUGGAACUCAUGAGCUACAACCAAGCCAUGUUUGCCUUAGCACCCUAUGGUCCCUAUUGGCGAAAAAUAAGAAAGCUUACAAUUUCAGAGAUUCUCUCCCCUCAGCAAGUGAGGCAGCAACGUCAUCUUUUUGAGUCAGAGGUUCAAGAAUCGAUCAAGGAGCUCUUUGACCUUUGGCGCAGCAACAAGAAUGAGAGCGGCUAUGCCUUGGUGGACUUGAAGCAAUGGUUUUCUCAUCUGAUAUUCAACAUGGUCCUUCAAAUGAUUACAGGGAAGCGAUAUUUCAGUGCAGCAACUGUAGACGAUGAGAAGGCACAGAGAUGUGUGAGGACUGUGGAGGAGUUGAUGCGUCUGAUGGGGGUGUUCACAGUGGGAGACGCUGUUCCUUGGUUGAGACGGUUUGAUUUGGGAGGGAAUGAGAAGGCUAUGAAAGAAAUUGCUAAAGAGUUGGAUAUUAUUCUUGGUGAGGAGUUAGAGGAACACAGAAAAAGGAAGGGUUUGGGUGAAGCUAAAGAUUUCAUUGAUGUGAUGAUUUCCUUGUUUGAUGGAACAAUUACUGAUGGGGUCGAUGCAGAUACCGUUAUCAAAUCCACCAUACUGGUAUGUAUCUUCAAUAUGAACAUUAUAAUCCUUUCAAACUUCAACCGUCUAGUAUUUUAUUUUUCUUUCUAAUUUUGUUUUCUGCAUGGCACAGUAUAGCAUGGUUGAAUAGUGUAUAUUAGGGAUAACGAUCUGAGUCAACCCAUUCUAGAUAGAUAUGUCCUGUUAAAAAGUACAGAUUAAUUCUAUUGGUUUAUCUCUAAGGAAAAGAUUUCUUUAACAUCCAAAAAUAAAAUACAUACAAUUUAACAAAUCAUUAUAAUAAUAUUUUUAAAUUAAAAAAUAAUAUAACAAUGUUCUGAUUUUCAAUAAAAUUUGAAUUUUGAUUAUAAUAAUAAAUUAUUUAAUAAAAUAUUUUAUUAAAUAUAUACAUUUUUUUAAAGGUAAAUACAUUAUUACUAUUAAUUUGAAAAAUAAUAUAUUUAUAUAUAUAAUACAACCUUUAAAUUUUAUUAUAAAAAAGACUAAGGUAUUUUUUUUUUUUGAAAUGUCCCUUUUAAUUCAAUUUUAUUUUUUGUUGACAAAAAAAAUAUACUUUUUAGAAAGAUAAAAAACACCAUUUAUUAAAAAAUCAUUAUUGAAUUUUGUGAGGGUGAUAUAAAUUAGGGAUUGAGUGUAGAUUCUUCCUGCAUCUCCAUGCCUUUCUUCUUGCAUCCCAUUAUACAAAAAAUACUCAAAUUAUGCUUUGGCAUUUUUCUUUAAUUCCGAAAUGUGACAUUUAAUUUGGAAGUUAAAAUUUGUUUUGGGAUUGUACAUUAUUUCAGAUUGUACAAUCCAAAAUACAAAUUUGUAUACUAGAUUAUUGAAUUUGAAAUAAAUAAUUUUACAACUUUUGAGAAUAAGAGGUUGCUAGAAGAAAUAAAUAAGAUGAAGAAAUUAAAUAAAUUUAUGAAUUAAAAUUAGUUUAUAUAUGAAUUAAAAAUAAUAUUUUAUGUAAAUUGAUUUUAAUAUAUGAUUUUUUUUUUGUUUUAUAGAAGAACUUGUGAAUAAAACCAUAUUCUUAAUUUGUUUAAUUUGCAGACACUGAUUGCAGGAGGAACUGACACAAGUAGUGUUGUUCUUGUGUGGGCAAUGUGUUUGAUUUUGGGAAAUCCUUUGGUAUUGGAAAAAGUGCAAGCCGAACUAGACAUUCAUAUUGGAAAAGAGAAAUGCGUAAGUGAGUCUGAUAUGAGUAAGUUAACAUAUCUUCAAGCCAUAGUCAAAGAAACUUUAAGAUUAUAUCCUCCGGGUCCUCUUGCGACACCUCGUGAAUUCACAGAGAAUUGCACUUUAGGUGGUUAUAAUAUAAAAAAAGGAACUCGACUAAUCACAAAUCUUUGGAAGAUUCACACAGACAAGAAUGUUUGGGAAGAUCCAUUGGAGUUCAAACCUGAAAGGUUUCUUACAACUUACAAAGAUCUCGAUGUUAAAGGUCAUCAUUUUGAGCUAAUACCAUUUGGAGGUGGUAGAAGAAUGUGUCCAGGAAUAUCCUUUGGCCUUGAAGUAGUGCAAUUCUCUCUUGCUAGUAUUUUGCACUCUUUUGAAUUUUUAAGUUCAUCACCUGAUCCUAUUGACAUGACCGAAAACUUUGGAUUAGCCAACACCAAAGCCACUCCACUUGAGAUUCUUAUUAAACCACACCUAUCUUUUAGUUGUUAUGAAAACAACUAAUCCAUGUGCUAGUUAUGCGGUCACAAUUUAUUUUCAUUCAAAGUAUCGUUCAAAGUCUUUGCUAUCUUUGUAUUUUUGUUCAAAGUGCUUGAUAUAUUUUAAUUUUCCUUUAAUGUACUUGAUAGAUUUAUAGCUUAUCUUUGUAAACUUUGAAACUCUUUCAAAUAUAUCAUUAAUAAAAAGAAUAAUUACACCGCAUAUUCUCACUACUUUAUUCCUUCUUUAUCGAUAUUUUCUUUAUAUUUUUCAAGUCCCUCUUAUGGAAAUAAAUCUUUGUAAAUUUUUUUCCUCUAUACAUCCUUCCAACUAGUAAGGCUCUGAUUUGGAUGUGAUUUGAAUCAUUCUUUAGCUUUUCCUGUCAAUGAGAAAGGAAAUAAACGUAGAUAAACAGUUUCAAUAUCACCUGAUUGAAAGUCUAUUGUUCCUACCAAUUCAUAAAAUGUAGACAAAUGUGUAUAUGGAUCCUCAUGGUCCAUUGUUGUAAAUUGAUGGGUACUUAUCAGACUGAGGAAUGCAGGUUUCAUCUCCAAGGCGUUGGUGGUAGAAGGUAUUGCAAUACUAGAGAAAUGAUGGCCUCUGGUGCAUAGCAUAAUCUCCAAGUGUUCUCUUGGGUUGUUGAUGACUUUUUACGGCAAGUGCACUGUGUUUGUCAGAAGUAAUAAUUGUCCCUAAGAACGAAUAUCAAUCCACAAGGAACAAUGAAGUGAAUUAUUGAGUACAAAAUUCGCUAAAUAUAACAACAGAACAAUAAAAAGAGUUUUGAAGUGAUUGUGUUGACACCGAUCAAUAAUAAAAUAAACAAAGAAUUAGUUGCUUGAAUUGAAAAAAUAGGGAUUAGGUUUCAUUUUUCUCACUCUCAUGUAUUUUGAUUAGGAUGUUAAUAUUAAGUUCUUUGAUUGAAAUUGAUGGCCAUAAAAAAUUCAUUUUUAUCGAUCCCUCGCAUAUAAAAUCCUUAAAAAUGUUUCCUAAAUAUCGAUCCCUUGCAUAUUUAUAAAAACAACUUAGAAUCCCAUUGAGACGUUAAUGUCAAUUAACAUUUCAAGUUUAUCCUUAACACUCAAAUAUGUUAAGUAUUGUUGUUCAGGUUUGAACCCUAAAAAUACCUCUCGGUUAGAUUUAAGACUAUCAAUUUGUCACGGAAAGUUAAAAGUAAAACAACAAUACCAAUAAUCAAUCAAGAACUUAAUAUUAAUAUAUAAGAUAUCACCUCAAUAUAUAAGAGUUUGAGCAUAUUACUCCAAAUCCAAAAUGGUAAAAUUAGCCACGCAUACUUCUAGCACCUUCCAUUCUCCUAAUUGGGUUACAAUUCACUCUAUGGUGUUUUCCUCUCAAUCUGACACAGUAGGAUUGAGCCUCUAGCCCCCUAUUUAUCCUAAUUUUCUAGGGUUAGGUCGCUUCUUAUGUCGUGCUAAUGGGCUAAGUGAUAAAACAUAAAAAAAACCCCAAUCUUUCUGACGUAUUCUCGCUCAAGCGAGAUACUCUUGUGGCGAAAUAGUCUUUUUCUGCAUCUCUUUGCAUUCUAGGACCUACCUUCUAGCUUUAUCUUUUUAGCUCAAAUUAUUCUCCUUUACUCCAAAUCUUCAAUCCUCCCUAAAAAUAUGCAAUUAACACCAAAUUUGGGAAUAAAAUUCUCUUAUUCAAAUAAAGAUCAUACAAAAUGUAUAAAUUCAUAAAUUAGAGAUUAUUCUAUAUGUAAAUUAGCAAUAAAUCCUCCUAAGUGCCUAAAUUUUAAUAUGAAAUAUUACUGAAAUUAGACACUUAUGAGUUGUGGUGGUGGUUUUUUUUGGCUAUAAUGCUUUCUUCUUGAAAAAUAUUAAUGGGAAGGAAAAAAAUGGUUAAGGAUUCUUCUAUAGUCUCUUUGUUUUUCUGUUCUCUUUCUCUCGUUGUUUCUUGUAGCUGCCUUUUCAAUCUCUAAUUUAAACAAUUGAGGAUUCUUCUAGCAGAAACAAUUUAAGCCAUAACAGUUCUUGGAGUUAAUCUUUAAAAGGUUUAAUUUGUAUUUUUUAGAAGUUCACAGUGUAUAAAAAAAUAAUUUUCUUUAAAAAUUAGAUUCAAAUUGGUUCUACAACAAUGUGCUUUGAUAAAAGACUUUACUUUUAAAUUGUAAAGCAAGAUUCAAAUCAGCUUUCAAUAACCGUCUAUUUAAACAAUAAAACACUUUAAAUCACAUUUUAAAAUCAAAUUUGAUAUGAUGAUGUUUAAAACCAGUUCCAAAACGAGAUUUCUUAUUGAUGGUUUGUUUUUAAGUAUGAACUUGUCAUCAAAGACACCAUCCAGUUUUUAAGUUUGAUUAAUUUCUUUAGUUGUUAGAAGUAAUGAAUACGAGAGAAGAAUAACACACAAUGAUUUAUACUAAUAUGAGAGAAGUAGUGUAUAUACUCUUACUUACGAUAAAGAAUUAUAAAAAUUAAAAGAAGUAAAACUUGACGAAAUUUGUACUUCCAUCAUUAUUUUUUCCUUUAUCACUUAUUUCUAUACUCUUUCUUUAACAACAUUGUAAUAUAGCGAUUUUUUAUAACAAAAUAUGAAAUAAUUUUAAAACGUGUGAAGAAAACGGUAUGGAUGAAUGGAUACGUUAUAUUGAUAAAUAAAUAAACCACAUGCGUUGGUUUUAAUCAAGACAAUAACUUGACAUAUACAUACGUAUCUCCAAAAUUUUAUUUACCCAAUUCUUACCAAAAAUAUUUUAAAAUAAUUAAUUUGUCGUCGUAUAAAUUCUCACUUCUAAUUGAAAAAUGUAUGAGCAUAUUUAUUUUCCAAUUUGUAACAAAAUUUACGAAUUUAUAUAUAAUUUUACAAUAAUUAUUUUUUAGUUUAUUAACAUGGCAUAAAAUUAAAGUUUUCGUUUUCUUUUAUUGACAUGUUGGUCGAAUAAGAGGUUUUUUUUAUUUUAUUUUAAUUUCUUUAAUUAUUUAAUUACCUAAAUUAUUUCAAUCAACACAACAAGUAAGAUAGGACGUUUAUAAAUAAUUAUCAGAAUAAUAUUUCAUUAAGUAAACUAAUUCUUAAUAUUUUAGAACAGUUACCAACAAGUAUCCACAGUUAAAAAAUAAAAAUAAAAAUAUAAAUUUAAUAUAUUAUAAAAAAAUAGAUUUGAAUAUUACACUUAUCAAAAUUACUUUCUAUUUUAGUUUCUAAUUUUUUUUAUAGACUCUUGAAUUAAAAAAUUAAAAAUAUUUUUUAUUCAUCCCAAUCUAAAAGUGAUAGUUUAGUCUUUUGAAAUUUAAAUACUAUUUUGAGUUAUCUAAUUUAUUAAUAAUUGACAAAUUCGUUAAUAAUUAUAGAUUCAAUUGAAAAAAAUAAAGAAUAAAAAAAACAAAGCAUCAAUGACAUAAACUCAUAAUAAUGAAUCCAGACACUGAAUUACAAAACAUUAUUUUAUUUAUAUGAAUUCGAUUGCACUUUCUUUAUAAUGAUAUUUCUUUUGAGUUUUAAUUAUCUAGAAAUUUUCCAAACAAUUAUAUGUGACAAAGCAUGAACAUGAAAUCAAUAACAGUAUAUAUGAAGUUGAAUGUGUAACGAUGUGACCAUUUUACACUAUCAAUCUAUUCCAUGUUUUUCCAUUACAAUUUGAUUUGUGUGCUUAAAGUGAUCAAUCAUGGAUGCAAAUAAUGAUGAAAUAGAAAUUAAUAUGCUCAUAAAAAAAUAAAGGCAACGUUGGUGUACCUAACAUGGUGGUGACGAACUACAUCAACUACAUUAGAACAGUUCUUUUAUGGGUGGUGUGUGUGCUGCCUUAUGUGAAUAAGGAAAAUUUUACGUAUAUAUUGUGGAGGUAGGAAAAGUUUUAUCUACCCCACGGGACGCCAAAUGUUCUAGCCAAGAGGGAUGUCUCCCUACUAAAGCGUACAAUUAAGCCAGAAACAAUGGUUUCUAGCCCUAAAGUGUUUGUCAGGUCAUCUUCUUUCCCUUAUAUAAGUUAGUGCUCUCCUCCCUUUUUGUAUCCCUUCUUGUUUUGAGUUAUAUUUUCAAAUUGAUUACAAUCACAUAUAUACGGUCGAUCUCCAUAAUCAACGCACUCUCCUCUUUAUGAAAAAUAAAUAAGAUCUUUUUCAUUAAUUUCAGAGAUAGACUAUUUCACCACAUCAUCGGUCUGAUAAGUUCAUAACCAUUAUUUACAUAGAUCGACACAAAAACCAUUUCACCAUGUGAUAACACUCGAUCCAUGAUCUCACAAUACCAAAUUAAAAGAAUUCUUAAUUUUUUUUGAAAAUAAAGCUAUUUUGAAAUUGUUGUUAAAUUAUUUCAUCUUAAUAUUUAGGUCUUAUUUUCAAAAUUUGAAUUCCAACACGAUUUAUCUAUUAAUAUAACGUGUCUUAAUUUUAAUUAUAUCUCUCUAUACUUUUUUAGUAAGUUUUAAAAGUCUUGUCAUGAUUUGUGCGUGUUAUCUUUACUCGGGGACUCUUUGUAUCUUUCCAAUGUUCUCAUAUGUCCCACAAGAGACAAAGUCUCUUUUCAAUUAUUUUAGCAAUAAUAGAAAACUUACUUAUUUUAAAAUACUAUUCAGUAUUAUUAGAGCAUUCUUAUUGGGGUAAGUCAGGUACUACUUUAAUGUUUAUGUACUGUUUGAAUAAAUGUCCCAUUGAAAAAUGUGAGCAUUUUUGUCCCAUUCUUAACUUUAUUGUUUGGUAGAAAUUUUUCGUCCGGAAGAGUAAUUAAGUGGUGCAGUUUCUACCUAACUCUCCGGCCACCUGUUUAAUGCUAAUACGUCGUCAUUCGUGCUCAUAUGUUGAUGCGAAAAGAUUUAUUUCACAUUAAAAACAUAUAUUUAACAUCACAUUAUUAUAAUAAUAUAAUCAGGUUUAAAAUUAAAAAAUAAAUUAAAUAUAUGUUUAAUAUGUCUCAGUUUUUUUUUUCAGAAAAUGUUUUUUAUGAAUGAUUUAAAAUGUUUUUUUUCUUAUUUUUAUAAUUAUAAUAUAAUCUUUUAGAAUAAAAAUUUAAUUUUUAAAAAAUUAAUAUGUUUUUUCUUUUAAAAAUUUUGUUAGAAUUCUAAUAAAAUUGUCAAAAAUUUUAAAAAUAUAUUUAAGAGACGUAUUUAACUUAGUUUGAUAAGUAAGAGAUUUGUGAAAGGUAUUAAUUAAAAGAGUGGUGAUAUAUUAACACUUUUAAUGAUAAAAACACAUUUUUUUUUAAAUAAAAGUUUUCAUGUUAGACAUCAUUAUGCAGUUUUUACACUUUUUAUACUAUAAUAAAUUAAUAUUUUAUUUAUUUUUAUUUUAUUUUUUAAUUUAAAAAUAUUAUUAUAAACAAUGUAAAUGUAUGUUUUUUUAUUCACUAUAAUAAAAUCAUGAAAUAGAAACCAAUUUGUAGAAAUCAAAAUAAUUAGUUGCAAUAGUAACUAAAAAGAAAUUUGGUUUCUAAAUUAGUUUCUAUUAUUGUUAAAUAGUUUCUAAAUUGGUAUCUAAUUAGCAACUAAGGUUUUUCUACCAAAUUUAGAAACUAAAUAAUUGGUAGUUAAAAUCUUAAUUGCUAAUUAAAUAUCAAUUUAAAAACUAUUUAAUAAUAAUAUAAAUUAAUUUGAAAAACUAAUUUUGUUUACUUUCUAAAUAUUUAAUGAUUUUCUGUCUGAACAAAACUUUUCUCUAAUUAAGAAGGAGUGAUACUUUAUAAUUUGUGUUUUAUAAAUAAUUACUUUACAAUUUUGCUAUAGUGAUAUAAUAUUUAAAGUUAUCUAAUUAAUUUAUACUUUUUACAUUUAUUAUAUUAUUAUAGUUGUAAAGUAUUAUAAAAUUAUCUUUAUGUUGAGUAAAAAAUAGAUGAUUUGAUAAGUAAUUAGAGAGAUCUUUAUAAAAGUGGAGUGAUUUUUGUCUAUUAUCACUAUGAAGUUUGUUAUUGACACGAUUUUUCCAAAUUUAGAAAAUAACUAUAUUUUAAUUAUGAGUGGCGGCAAAUAUUAACUCAUCUUUUCAAGAGAGAAAUGAUAUUUUAACUAUAAAAAAUGAUUUGAUUUGAUUGAUUUAAAUAUAAAUAUAUAUUAUAAUAAGAUUGUAUAAAAUAGUAGGGUUGUUAGAAACCUAAGAACAGUGUCAGAGAGUGACUCACAAGUUAGAGAUAUUAAAAUCCAAUUUGUGUAGCCUCAAGCAUGCAUCGCAUACACAAUCUUCUCUCUUGGGUAAAAUGGAUCUAAAUGUUUCUGCAAUUGGACUUGUUUCUCUACUUCUCUUCUGUUUCUUUUUCUUUGGUCUCUUCAAAUUUUCUCAAGGAAAAGAAGCUCCCACAGUUGCAGGUGCAUGGCCAAUACUUGGCCACCUUCCAUUGUUGAGUGCUUCAAAGAGACCCCAUAGAACUUUGGGUGCUUUGGCUGACAAAUAUGGACCCAUUUUCACCAUCAAACUUGGUGCCAAAAGCGCUUUGGUAAUCAACAACUGGGAAACGGCAAAGGAAUGUUUUACCACAAACGACAUAGUCGUUUCCUCUCGCCCCAAGCUUGUUGCUGCUGAACACAUGAGCUACAACCAAGCCAUGUUUGUGGUAGCACCCUAUGGUCCCUAUUGGCGAAAAAUAAGAAAGAUUACAGUUUCAGAGAUUCUCUCCCCUCUGCGAGUGAAGCAGCUGCGUCAUGUUUUUGAGUCAGAAGUUGAAGGUUCGAUCAAGGAGCUCUUUGACUUUUGGCGUAGCAACAAGAAUGAGAGCGGCUAUGCCUUGGUGGAGUUGAAGCAAUGGUUUUCUCAUCUGAUAUUCAACAUGGUCCUUCAAAUGAUUACAGGGAAGCGAUAUUUCAGUGCAGCAACUGUGGAUGAUGAGAAGGCACGGAGAUUUGUGAGGGCUAUGGAGGAGUUCAUGCGUCUGUUCGGGUUGUUCACAGUGGGAGAUGCUGUUCCAUGGUUGAGAUGGUUUGAUUUUGGAGGGCAUGAGAAGGCAAUGAAAGAAACUGCGAAAGAGUUGGAUAGUAUUAUAGGUGAGGAGUUAGAGGAACAUAGAAAAAGGAAGGGUUUGGGUGAGAAGGUUGAUGAAGCUAAAGAUUUCAUGGAUAUCAUGAUUUCAUUGUUUGAUGGAAGAACUAUUGAUGGGGUCGAUGCAGAUACCGUAAUCAAAUCCACCCUUCUGGUAUGUAUAUUCAUUACACACACAUUAUAAUCUUUUCAAAUUUCAACAAAAUUCAACAUACAUAUAAAACGAAUUAAUAUAUAUAUAUAUAUAUAUUUAUAUUGGUGUAUGUAAAUUUUUUCUUAAGAGAUAUUUAAAAAAAAAAAUAGUUUCUAUUAUUAAUAAAUAAUUUCUAAAUUGGUAUCUAAUGUUUUAAUUAUCAAUUAUUUAGAUUUUAAAUUUUGUAGAAAUAAUCUUGGUAGCUAAUUAGAUACCAAAAUAGAAACUAAUAACUUUUUUAGUCUCUAAACUAGUAUUUAAUUUACUCAAUAUAACACCUAGUUAUAUUUGGUAUCUAAAAUUGGUUUCUAUUUAAUGAUUUUCUUGUAGUGAUGGUUGUAUAGUUUAAUAUAUACCAUGAUUGUAAAGUCUAUCUAAAGAACGAGAAUGCCGGUUAGCCUAUCCUAUAUAGGUCUGUUCCAUAUAGAAAAUGAAUGUUGAUUUUAUUGGUUUGUCUUUAAUGCUGAUUGCUUCCCAAAUGUGCACAUAAGAAAUAUAUAUUUUAAAUUAUAAAAAAUAAAUUUUGAAUAUUUUUUUUAUUAAGUUAAUCUUUUAUUUAUUUAAAUGAAUUAGAUAAAUUGUCUCACAAUAUUAUUCUCAUGAUAAUGCCUAAUAAGAUAUAGGUAAAAAAUAAUAUUAUAAUUAUGUUUUGAUUUUCUAUAAAAUUAGAAUUUUAAGGCAAAUACAUUAUUACUAUUCUAAUUUGAAAAGUAAUAUAAAAUAAUAUAUAUAUAUAUAUAUAAUACAAUUUUUAAAUUUUAUUAUAAAAAAAGAGUAAGGUAUGCUAAUGCAUUUGACAUAUGAUGAUAUGCAUUUCAGAAAGACAAAAAAACACCAUUAAAUAUUAAAAAAUCAUUAUUGAAUUUUGUGAAGGUGCUAUGAAUUAGGGAUCCACUGUAGUUUCUUCAUGCACCACCUCCAUGUCUUUCUUCUUGCAUCCCAUAGUUCAUAAAAUAUUCAAAUUAUCCUUUGAUAUUUUUCAUUGAAUGUUUUUCUUUAAUUCUGAAAUGUGGCAUUUCAUCUAGAAGUUAAAAUUUGUGUUUGGGAUUGUACAUUAUUUCAGAUUGCACAAUCCAAAAUACAAAUUUGUAUACCAGAUUAUAGAAUUUGAAAUGAAUAAUUUUAGAAAUUUUGAGAAUAAGUGGCUGCAAAAAAAAUCAUGGGGGUAUAUAUAAAAAAAACUAAUUCUUAAAAAAUGUGGGUUAUACGGGUCAACGUGCCUUAUCCCACACUUUGCCGGUAUGUGCUACGGGUUAUGCGAGGCGGGUCAACAAGUUGAAAUAGCCAGUCUACCCUGUAUUUCUUUUAGCGGGCCAAGGACUGGUCUACACGACCCACUCCGUUUUGCCAUCCAUAAUUUAAGUAACUAGUUACUAAAUAUAAAGUAUUAUAAUUAUGUGAAAUAUAUAUAAUAAAUAAUUUAUUUACGUAAAUUACACUAUAGUAAUUUUAAAUUUGAUUAGAGUAAACACUUGUAAAAUAUUCUUCUAUCAUGUCUAUUGGCAAUUUUUUCAAGUAAAUGUAUCCACAAACACUUACAAAAGAAAUAAAUAAGAAGAAGAAAUUAAAUAAAUUUUUUACAAACUAAAAUUAGUAUAUAUGAAUUAAAAAAAUAUUUUACAUAGAUUUAUUUUAAUAUAUGAUUUGUUUCCCUUAUAGAAGAACUUGUGAAUGACCAUAUUCUUAAUUUUCUUAAUUUGCAGGCAGUGAUUGCAGGAGGAACUGACACAAGUAAUAUUGUUCUUACGUGGGAAAUAUCUUUGAUUUUGAGGAAUCCUUUGGUAUUGGAAAAAGUAAAAGUGGAACUAGACAUUCAUAUUGGAAAAGAGAAAUGCGUAAGUGAGUUUGAUAUAAGUAAGUUAACAUAUCUUCAAGCCAUAGUCAAGGAAACUUUAAGAUUGUAUCCUCCUGCUCCUCUUUCGACGCCUCGUGAAUUCAUAGAGGACUGCACUUUAAGUGGUUAUAAUAUAAAAAAAGGAACUCGUCUAAUCACAAAUCUUUGGAAGAUUCACACAGAUAGUAAUGUUUGGGAAGAUUCAUUGGAGUUCAAACCAGAAAGAUUUCUUACAACUCAUAAAGAUAUUGACGUCAAAGGUCAUCAUUUUGAGUUAUUACCAUUUGGAGGUGGCAGAAGAAUGUGUCCAGGAAUAUCCUUUGGCAUUGAAGUAGUGCAUUUCUCUCUUGCUAGUUUUUUGCAUUCUUUUGAAAUUUUAAGCUCAUCACCUAAUCCUAUUGACAUGACUGAAAACUUUGGAUUAACCAACACCAAAGCCACUCCACUUGAGAUUCUUAUUAAACCACGUCUAUCUUUUAGUUGUUAUGAAAACAACUAAUCCAUGUGUUAGUUAUGCAGUCACAGUUUGUUUUCAUUCAAAGUACUUUUUUUCUAUAAUAUCGUUAAAGUCUUUGCUAUCUUUGUAUUUUCAUUCAAAGUGCUUGAUAUAUUUGCACUUUCGUUCAAUGUACUUGAUAUAUUUAUAGUUUAUCUUUGUAAACUUUGAAACUCUUUCAAAUAUAUCAUUAAUGAAAAGUAUAAUUACAUUGUAUAUUCUCGCUACAUUUACUCUUUUAUACUUAUUCCUUCUUUAUUGAUAUUUUCUUUAUAUUUUCCAAGUCCCUCUUAGUGAAUUCUCAGUGGUUAGCUGAGGACUGAGUGUAGCUCUAGGUUAAGAGUGAAUCAAUAUAAACUUCUUGUGUGAAUCUCUCUAUCCUUACACCCUUUAAACUGUUUUAGCUUUGAUUUUAUAACCUAAUGGUUAAACAACCGGUUGUUUCGCAAAAACAAAUGGUUGAUUUUCUGGAAUCAAACUAAAAACAGUUUUAUAAUUAGAUGAACAAUUUUCUAAUUGAUUGAUUCUUCACUAUGUCUUUCACUCUACCUUCAAUACUAGCGAAAAUCUUUCAAAAACAAUUCACCCCCCUCUUAUUUAAGGCUUAUAAUUCUAACAUCGUCUUCCCAUUAAUGUUAAGAAGUGUACCAAUUAAACUAUCACACACAUUCUUCUUUGCAUUAAAUCAAUACAAUGUCUGAAUUCUAACUUCGACCAAUAUGAAAGAUCAAAGAAGAUUGAUUUUUUCUUCCAUAUGUUUGUCACAAAUGACUUCUUUCUUGACUUCUGAAGGUGUGUCCUAUGUUAUUUACCUUUUCAUAAACCUCAACACUAGUUAAUGGAGUUGGUAGACUGACAGUCUUUUGAUGUCCAUUAAAGACUUUUUUCAACCUCCGGUAAGGAUGGUGACUUCUAAGAAACCUCCACUGCCAAAGAUAUACUAUCUUCCUUUCAUGUUUCAAUUGCUGAAAAGCAGUGUCUUCUUCACAUAUUGGACAUGCUUUUUGACCCUUGACACUACACCCUGAUAAGUUAUUGUAUGCCAAAAAGUUAUUUAUUGUGCAAAAGAACAUGGCAAGCAUCUUGAAAGUUUCAUUAACAAACCAGUCAAAGUGUCAUUAGCAACAUGGCUUACAGUGAAAAUACCGAGGGGUUGUAAAACAUCCUUCAUAGCUUUAAUUCCUACAGUUUCUGACCUAACUAAGUUGCGAUAAUAUAAACUGAUUUCUCUAGUUGGGAUUUUCUAUAAAAUCAUAUCCAAAGUGUUGGCUAACAGAAUUAAGAAAGUCAUGCCUAACAUUAAGAUGAAUCUCAAUCCACAUUCUUGUGGGGGAGAAGGCUUUUGGAUAUCAUUUUAGUGACCAAUGAGGUCGUGGAGGAUAUUAGGAGUCAUGGUAAGAGUGGGGCUAUUGUCAAGGUGGAUUUUGAUAAAACAUAUGACUCGAUGAUGUGACAAUUCAUGUUUUAUAUGAUGAAGAAACUAGGCUUUAGGGAGAAGUGGAUUAGGUGGAUCAAGUGUUGUUUGGUUUCUUCCUCAGUUUCUAUUUUAGUUAAUGGUAGCCCAACUUCUGAGUUCAACCCAUCUAGAGGGUUAAGGCAAGGGGACCCCUUGGUCCCUUUCCAACUCCUUAUCGUUGUCACUACUAGAAAAUCAUUAAAUAUAAACUAAUUUUAGAGAAAAAAAUAAUUAGUUAUUAUAUUGACUAAAUUAGAUAUUAUUUUAGAGACUAAAAAAAAUAUUGGUAUCACUAUGAAACUUGACAUCUAAGUUAGGAUGACACCUCAAGUAACAACAAUCAUCAUCCACCACAUGAAAAAAAUAUCAUUAAAAAAAGGAAAAAAGAAAGAAAGAAAGGAAAUACAAGCCAUAUGAGGAGACUAGACCAAAACCCAUAUACAAAAAUCCUAAGAAAAGUGAUACUUAGGUAAUAUAUCCCUACUAAUAAAGAAUUCUAAGAAAAAACUAGAUGGAAGCCUAUUAACCAAUUAAAUUAUUCUAUAUGAAUAAACCCUAAGUUAGCAAGCUUAUCAGCACAUUCCUUUCCUUAAAAAAAAAAAAAGUGAGAAAUCCCACAUCUGAUUUUCCCAUAGAAAUGAAGGCAAGUGUUCCACCUAUUAUGAAGAAUCCAAGGAACCUUAGUCAUAGUAGUAAAUGCAGCACAAACCAAGGUAGAAUCACAUUCAAGUCAUAAACUAGUAAGACCCAUCUUUUUAGUUUCAUAAAAGGCCUAUAUAACUCCCUAAAACUCAACAACCAAAGUAAUCUAAAAAUCAAGGAAAGCAGAGAAACCACCAAUAAAAUACCACCACAAGCGGCAAAACCAGGAUAACCCCUAGUAACACUAUCAUUAUUAAUUUUAACCCAACCUAGUGAAGGAAACUCUCAUCUAAUAGGAGGAGGAUGAAGAACUUUAUCAUUACGAGUACUAAUAUCAAAGAACUUAAGCACAUUGAAAUCAAACAUAUCAUUCCUUAUAGAACUUUUAGACGAAUUACACAUUAGGUAAGUAAAAUCCUUAAUGGUGGAAAUGGUCCUGAAAAGAUCAAUCUUAACCUGAAAUCUAACAUAAUUUCUCAUACGUCAUAUUAUCCUAGAGAAGGUAAUCACAACAAGUUUAAUCAAAUUAAACAAAUGACUACCAUCGCUCUUAAUAAAAUAAAGGAGAUCACUCACAUUAGAAAAAUGGAAUUAAGAAUAGUCUUUUAAGAUACCUAUAUUUGUUAUAAUUAAAUAUCCAAUUAUUAUUUCUAAAAUUAAAUUAAUUUUAUUACUAAAAAUUAAAUUUUAAAAAUGCAUAUUUGACUUGUAUUUAAAUUUAUUUUUUAUUUUUAAAGUGGACUAAAAUCUUUAGCUCUACCUAGGAGUAGAUCAAACAAAAAAAAUAUAUAAUUUUGAUUAGAAAAAAAUGAAAGUGACCUAAACUGGAUCUUUCAUAAGUAUUCCAUAUAAAUAAACUGAUCUGAUCGACCAACCCAGAAUUAAAAUCCAAUGUCGAUCAUGGAAUGAACCAGAAACACUUUCUAACUCACCCUACUUUUUCCAUCUGUUUUUAGGUUGAAGAUAAACGUGUUGCACUUGAUGAUCUAUAUACUGUCAUCUUCAGCACCUACCCAAUUAAUAAUUUCUACUUCCAACAAAUUUACUGGUUCACAUUUGUCGCUAUUGUUGUAUACAAAUUAUUAUAUGCUUAUUAGUCUGACAUUUUUCUUUUCUAAAUUUGCAAUUAAUAUUACUAUAAGAACAGAAGAAAUUUCACCACAGUGUCAAAUAUAUUUAUCAAUACCAGUUCAAAUAACAUCAGUAAACUUACCUAUGUUAGUACAAUUCCUAUAUAUAUAUAUGCACACUGGCUAAUGAACAAAAUGUGUAUCUUAAUGGAGUUCGUUUUGGAUUACCUUAAUGGCAGUGCCAUUGGUCUUCUUUCUCUAAUCCUCUUGUAUAUGUUUCUCUAUAAUCCCUUCAAAUUUUGUAAGGGAAAGAAGAAAGAGGCUCCCACAGUUGCAGGAGCAUGGCCAAUACUUGGUCACCUUCCACUGUUGAGUGGUUCAAAGACACCCCAUAGAACUUUGGGUGCUUUGGCUGACAAAUAUGGACCCAUUUUCACCAUCCAACUUGGUUCCAAAAAGGCUUUGAUAAUCAACAACUGGGAAAUAGCAAAGGAAUGCUUCACCACAAUCGACAUGGUUGUUUCUUCUCGCCCCAAGAUUCUCGCCUCUGAACUCAUGGGCUACAACCAUGCCAUGUUUGGCUUUGCACCCUAUGGUCCCUAUUGGCGCGAGCUUCGAAAGAUUACAACGUUAGAAAUCCUUUCCCCUCGUCCAGUGGAACAACUGCAGCAUGUUCGUGUCUCAGAACUUCAAAACUGGAUCAAAGAGUUGUAUGAUGUUUGGUGUAGCCAAAAGAGUGAGUCUGGCUAUGCCUUGGUGGAGCUGAAGCAAUGGUUUUCUCACCUCGCAUUCAACAUGGUUCUUCGAAUGGUCGUUGGGAAGAGACACUUUGGUGGUGAAAACUUAGAAGAUGAGAAAGCACAGAGAUAUGUGAGGGCUGUGGAGGAGUUCAUGCGCCUGUUCGGAGUGUUCACAGUGGGAGAUGCUGUUCCAUGGUUGAGAUGGUUUGAUUUUGGAGGGCAUGAGAAGGCAAUGAAAGAAACUGCGAAAGAGUUGGAUAGUAUUAUAGGUGAGGAGUUAGAGGAACAUAGAAAAAGGAAGGGUUUGGGUGAGAAGGUUGAUGAAGCUCAAGAUUUCAUGGAUGUAAUGAUUUCAUUGUUUGAUGGAACAACUAUUGAAGGGAUCGAUGCAGAUACCAUGAUCAAAUCCACCCUACUGGUAUGAAUGUUUAAUUUACACGUUAUAAUACUUUCUGAAAUGUGAAAUUUUAAGAAAAUUAAACUUAUAAUAAGAAAAAUAUACAUUGACAUUAUAGAACUCAUGAAGUAUUCCGUAGAAAAUAAGUAAAAUUAAAUAUCUUUUCUUGUAAAUUAAAAUUAAGUAUAACCUAAGUUAUUUUUAGUAAUAAGUUUUUCAAAUAUAAUCUUAAUUCAUUACAUGAAAAAUAUUAAAUAAAAACUAAUUUUAAAUACCAAAAUAAUUAGUUAAUAUUUGAUAUAAUUAAAGAUCAUUUUAUAAAUUAAAAAAAAUUAUUGAUAUCUAAAUUAUUUUUUUUUAUUAAUAAAAAAUUAUAAAAUAAUUUUUAAAUUGGUAUCUAACCAUUAACUACCAAGGUUUUAGCUACUUACUACUUUAUAUUCUAAAUUAGUCUCUAUUAGUCUUUUAGAGACUAGUUUAUAAUAUAAAAUAUUAGUAACUAAAACCUAAAUAACUAAUUUAGAUAUCAAUUUAGAAACUAUUUUAUAAAUUUUUAUUAAUAAUAUAAAUUAUCUUAGAUACCAAUAAUUUCUUAGUCUCUAAAUAAAUAUCUAAUUUAGUCAAAAUAGUGACUAAUUAUUUUUUAUCUUUAAAUUGGGUUGCUAUUUAAUGAUUUUUUCUAGUGAUUUUCUUCACUUAAAUAUUUUUGUUGGGUAACUUAUUUGUUUUGUAGGCAGUGAUUGUAGGAGGAAUUGACACAAACAAUACAAUUCUUACAUGGACAAUAUCUUUGAUUUUAAGGAAUCCUUUGGUGUUGGAAAACGUAAAAGAUGAACUAGACACUCAUAUUGGAAAAGAGAAAUGCGUAAAUGAGUAUGAUAUAAGUAAGUUAACAUAUCUUCAAGCCAUAGUCAAAGAAACUUUAAGAUUGUAUCCUCCUACUCCUCUUUUUGGACCUCGUGAAUUCACAGAGAAUUGCACUUUAAGAGGCUAUAAUAUAAAAAAGGGAACCCGACUAAUCCCAAAUCUUUGGAAGAUUCACACAGAUAGUAAUGUUUGGGAAGACCCUUUGGAGUUCAAACCAGAAAGGUUUCUUACAACUCGUAAAGAUAUCGACGUCAAAGGUCAUCAUUUUGAACUAUUACCAUUUGGAGGUGGUAGAAGAAUAUGUCCAGCAGUAUCCUUUGGCCUUCAAAUGGUGCAUUUCACUCUUGCUAGGUUUUUGCAUUCCUUUGAAAUUUUAAGUUCAUCACCUGAUCCUAUUGACAUGUCUGAAACAUGUGGAUUAACCAACACUAAAGCCACUCCACUCGAUAUUCUUAUUAAACCACGUCUAUCUCUUAGUUGUUAUGAAAACAACCAUUCCUUGUCUUAGCUACAUGAUUACAUUGUAUUUUUGUUCAAAGUACUUUUUUGUUCCUACUAAAUAGUUCAAAGUAUUAUAGUUCCUCUAUUAUAUAUUUGUAUUUUUGUUCAAAAUUACUUGUAAUAUUGGUAGUUUAUCUUUGUAAAUUUUGUAACUCUUUCAACUAUAUAAUUGAUGAAAGUAUGAUUACAAUUUAUAUUCUCACCAUUUUAACUUUUUUUAUUCCUUCUUUAUUGAUAUUUUCUUUAUAUUUUUCAAGUCACUCUUAUUGUUGUCUUGUUAAAAUUGAAGUUUGUAUUUUUACCUAUUUAUGUUUAAUUCAUUUUCAUGUACUAGAUACUACAAUGAUAAUUUGCUUAUUUGGCUUUAUUUCAAACAUCAAUGUUUAUCGACUCAAGACAUCAUAUAUGUCACUUCAGGGGUGAUCCAACCCAUAUUCAAAAGACUAACACAACCCUACAACACCACAUAUUCCAGACAGUUACACGCUUAACUCGGCCCAACAUCAACCGCAUACAAACUAAAACGAAAAAAGGCAAAUCAGAUGAUCAAGACACCCAUCAGAAUAAGAGAAACAAGCAACGGGAUUUAGAAGUAAUCCAAGACCAAACCUUCAAUUGAGCCAAAGAGAAGAUCUCCGAGUAAUCCAACACUCCACCUUUAAAAAUAAUCUUAUUCCUGUGACACCAAAUCUUACUAACCACCACAAGCCAAAUACUCUUCAGCCCUAAGUUGUCCGACUCAGGAGCAUUACACAACUUGAACUGCUAAAAUUGAGAGGAGUUAAGGGGGACAACUGACGAAAUGCCUAACCACACGUAACAAAGAUUCCAAACCAACCAUACUAUUCUACAGUAAAAAAAAUAGAUGAUUUAACUCCUCCUCUUUUAACCCGCAAAAGCAACAGGGAACGCUUCUGAGCUUUAUCCCUCAUCUAAAUAAAUUAACCUUAGUGGCAAUCUUAUUGUCCAACACUCUCCUAGCGGUAACAUGAGCUGAAGGCAUAGCCUUAAUCCUCCAAAAUAUUUUGAACAUCUUCGUACAAUCCCCCUUAGAAUCCCCUCUUAGAAUCCCAUAAGCCGAUUUCACUGAGAACUCUUGGAACUUACCGUCUUUCCAAACCCACCUAUCAACUUUUUCCAAGAUAGGACACAAGACAUGCACUACCUCUAGAAGUUGUCUAACCUGAUCCUCCUCCCAAUCAAAAAGACUUCUCCACCACGCCCAAAGGCCACUCCUAAACAUUGUUUGUCCAAAACCCACAAUGCUCCAGCAACACAUCUUUAUCGACACAAAGAGAAAAAAGCCUUGGAAACUUAUUCUUCAAGAUAUCAUUACCUACCCACUGAUCCUCCCAUAAUUUGAUACUCUUCCCAAUACCAAGUUCCCACUUAAAUUUGUCAUCGAAAUUACUUUCCCAUUUCUCCAGCUUCCAAAUCUUCUUCAAAUCUUUCCACCAAAAGGAAACAUUAUUGUUUGAGCUGUCCUCUUUCAGCUUUCUCCAGCCUUCAACCUCCUUCCACAAAUCUCCCUCAAAUCCCAACCACCAAAUUCAUUUACCCAACAAAAUCAAUUUAAAAUCCUUAAUAUUAACUACUCCAAACCCGUCGCUUCACUUAAUUUAUUUUCAUUUACUCAAUGCCACGAUCAUAAUUUGGAUACAAUACUGUUCCAAACAUUAAACUCUACUCGUUUACUCAAAACAUUACACAUCUCAACCUUAUAUUGUUGUAUUUUAUCAAUAAUUUAAAUUAUUACCUUAUACAAUUUUUCAAAUUCAUCAACCAAUAAAAAAUAUUGUAUUAUAUUUGGAUCACCUCCUUUAUUAACCAUUCAAAAUUAAAUUAUUUAUUUAAAAAUCUAAUACAAGAAAAUCAUUAAAUAGAAACCAAUUUUAAAAACAAAAAAAUAUAUUGACUAAAUUAGAAAAAAAAUUACAUACUAAAAAUAUUAUUGGUUUCUAAAUUAGUUUCUAUUAUUGAUAAAUAGUUUUUAAAUUGUUAUCUAAUUAGCUACCAAGUUUUUAAGUACCAAUUAUUUAUAUUUUAAAUUUGAUAGUAAACAUCUUGGUAGCUAAUUAAAUAUCAAUUUAAUAAUUAUUUAUCAAUAAUAGAAACUAAUUUAAAAAUCAAUAAUUGUUUUAGUCUCUAAAAUGUUCACUAAUUUAGUCAAUAUAGUAACUAAUUAUUUUUGUCAAAAAAAUUGAUUUCUAUUUAAUAAUUUUUUUUAGUGAUCGUUUAUCGUAUUUAUUUAAAUUUCAUUUCAAUCUUUUUUGAAUGAUCUAUUUAACAGCUGAAACAUUGUAAGUGAUUCUAAUAGUCUCAACCAUAUUCAUAUUAAAUUAUGUUUGUCUCCGAAAGUUAGCCAUUCUUGUAUUCUGUUACCUACACCAACAUGGUGCGUAUUAUUCAAUAAUAAACCAAAUAAUAUAUUUUUAAAAAUUUGGUGCAUAUAAAAGCCGUGUGUUACAAUUUUAUUAGUAUUAUAGACACUCAAGUAUUUUUUUAAAAAAAUUAUUAAUAGAUAUAGACUAUCUAUAUAUUUUUUUUUGUUAAUAUUCAAGGAUGCAGGUAGCUCUAUUAUGUGUCUCAUGCAGUUGUUUUUUUGUGAGGUUUAGGAUAGUGUUAUUUAUCGUAAGCUUUUUUCUGGUUCUGUAUACGGGUUGGGAUACUCUGAAGUAUCUCCUAAUUUAUUUUAAUUUUUUGGUGAUAAAAAAAAUAUGGAUUUUAGUUUAAUUCUUUAUAUUUAAAAAAAAUAUUAAUAGAUAUAAACUAUCUAUAUAUAUUUUUGUUAAUAUAUGAGUUUUAGUCUAAUUCUCUAUAUUUAUUUGUAUUUUAUUUUAUUUUUUUAAUAAUUUUUUUAUUUAAUGACAUAUUAUUGUUAUUAUUUAAAAUAUGAUGAAAUGUCAAGUUUCAUACAUAUGUUAAACAUAAGAUUUUUUUUAAAAAAAAAACUGUUAGUUGUAUGAAUAAAGAAAAUGAAUUCGGUAUGUAUAUUGUUUGAUAGUAAUCUAUGGGAGCCGCAAUAUCAACUAUUAAAAUAUCGUUUUGGUUUGAUUUAAUAUUUCAACAUUUUAAAGUUUUACAUGUAACAUAGUUUAAUCUUUUACUUAUUUUACUGAGUAUUUUCAAGAAAAGAAAUGUAGUUAACAAUAUAUUUUUAGAAAUCAAAUUGAUACAGGUUCAUCUUUCAAGAUCUACUAUAUAUCAAAGAUAAAAUUACUAAAACAAUAUAAAAUAUUCUAUGUUUAUAAUUUUUUAUUAAAAAUAAAUAAAUUUGGAUUUUUUUUUAAAUGUUUACGGUUUACCUGUAAUUUUAUGGAGUGUUUUGUCCAAUUCAAUGAUAAGGAUCUCCUUUAUCCUUUUAUUUAUAGUCACCUUAUUUAUUUCAAACCUUAUCUUCAAAAAUUGAGGACAAAAUUUAGCAGUGCACCUUUAUCUGUACUGUUGAAUUUUUUGGUCAUUGAAGAUAACACAUCAAACUCAACUCCUUCACACAUUGUUGCAUAUGAUUAGAAGCCAAAUUAAUCACGGCUUUGUGUGAAGCUUUUGUUAUUUUCAAUGCGAUCAAACAGAAAAAGACGUGUUCUGAUGGAUUAUUUUAAAUCAACAUUUCGAUAUUUUACAUGGUUAGGGUUCUUAUUAUUUGUAGUCUUGAAUUUUUUUUACGGGGUAGUUCAACCUGUAUACAAAAAUUACCUUACCAAAUUUUUAACAAGAAACAUCUACAAAGAAAUAAAAAAAAAAAAACAUAAAUGAAUCAUCCUCAUGCAUAUCAAAGAAUUCAGAACCCAGUUAGAGUAAGAAAAGAAAGCGCAACUGGACUUUGCAAAAAUUCAAGACCAAACAUUUCUUGCAUCAAAACAAACAUUUCUACCGCAUCUAUCACACCCCUAUUAAAAAUGACGGUCUAUAGUAUAAUUAGAUAGUCUCUUAUGAUCUUAUUUAUUAGGUGUUUAUGUUAGGUUUCAAUACGAUUUUAUUUAUCCAAUUUGAAUAAAUACUAAACCUAUUGCUAUUAAUUUACCAAAUGGUCAUCAAACUAUUGCUUCUCAAACUAGAACUAUGAAAUGCAUAGUUCCAAAAGUCGUGUUCAUGUAGAAACAACAACUCCUUCCAUUUUUUUCCACACCCGUUUAGGAAGGUUUUGGAUUUAUAUGAAAAAGUUUCAAAUAUAUAGCUUUUUUAUUUUGUCUCCAUGGAGAGAAAGUGAGACUCACCACAGCAACGAAUUCUGAAACGUAGUUAUCAAAAAGUUUUCAAUGAACUCAAAACAGGAGCACAAGGUUGCAAGAUUUAGGGUACAUUCAAGAAAGAUUUCCACAUUAUUUAUUAAAAAAAUUAUUGAUUUUUUUAAAAGUUCUUUAAUUUAUUAAAAAGUUUAUUUUAAAUCAUGUUGUAGAUCUCACAUCGACUAAAAAUUAGGACAUUUCAUUAUAUAUAAGUGGGUGUAACCUCACCUCAUAAGCCGAUUUUAAGAGGUUGAGUUAAGCUUAAAGUCCACUUCGUAAUAUGGUAUCAGAGUCAUUUUGAGCUUAUCCUAACUAGUGUUUGUUGGGCUUAUCAGGGCACCCGCUAUCGGACCGUUAUCGGAUCACCCAUAAUAUGUUAUCCCGCACACGACCUGUCACUCUCGGCGUGAGAGAGGUGUGUUGAAGAUUUCACAUCGAUUAGAGAUUAGGAUAUUUCAUUGUAUAUAAAUGGAUGCAAACCUCACCAUGAGCCGGUUUUAUGGAGUUGAGUUAGACUAAAAAUCCACUUCGUAAUAAAUCGAGUUCUCCAUAAGCUACCGAAUUUGGAUUUUGAAUAUAAAAAAAAAUAAUUAGAAUAAAAGGUUUACUUUGACAGAAACUAAUUAUUAAUUAAUGAGUAUAUACUUCAUAUAUUUGUCAUGAGAAGAAACUUAUAUACUAAGCACCUAAUUACUUGACUGAAGGCUAAAGCUAGAAGAUUCAACACAAGACCCCUUAACCUUCCCACUUUUAUAAUUUAAUUAUUAAUAUCAGUUGCAUUCUUAAGCUUGGAGAAGACAACCAAUAUCAAGCUAUUAAGGUCUCUUUUAUGUUCAUAUAUAAUACAAAUUCUGAUUUUGAAAAGUUCUCCAUGUGAGCAAGUGGAGAAGUGUGGCCAAGUUUCUAAGAAGUCUUUAUAAGACUUUCACAUCAUCACUUACAAUAAUCAAAUAACGUAAUAAUUCUCUAUUAUCCAAACCCUUUUCAAUAAAAAAUAUUUAUUUAUCAAUUUAUAUUAAUUAUAAUAUCAUUUUAUAUUAAUUAUAAAAAAAUAUAUUCUUUUAUUACGUGACUACAAUUAAACAAAUUAACAAGAUAAAUAAAAAUCAUGUCAAAAAAUUAAACGAAAAGAAACUAAUUUCUAAAUUUAUAAAUUUUGAAUAUUCAAUAAAUAAUUAAUAGAAAUAAUUAAAAAUAUUCAAAUUUCUAAAAUACUUAAAAGAUAAUUACAUUUAUUUGAAAAAUUCUUCCUCUCUCAGUACACGUGUUUUGAAAAAAAUCCAACUUAUUUUAGUUUCUUGUAUAAACUUAUCUGGCAUCUUUGGUUGAGUUCACGACAUCCAUUAACUUUUCACAUCAAACAAAAAGAUUUAUGGAAAAGAUUUUUUGAGACCAUAUGCACUGAAAACAUGAACUUCACAUCAUAUUAUAAUAAUACAAUAAUAUUUUAAAUUAAAAAAUAAAAUAAAAUAUAAUUAGAAUACUAUUUUAUUAAUUUAUGAAGUAUAUAUAUUUAAUAUUAUUUGUUGUACCACCCAUAAUCUAUUUAAGAAUACCACUAGCAUUGGACUUGACAAAGCUCAAAUGGAUUUUGUUCUACACUACUUGAAUACCACUACCAUUGCACUUCUUUCUCUAAUCAUCUUCUGUUUAUUCUUCUAUAAUCCCUUCAAAAAAUUUCAAUCCAAAGAGGCUCCCACAGUUGCAGGAGCAUGGCCAAUACUUGGUCACCUUCCACUGUUGAGUGGUUCAAAGACACCCCAUAGAACUUUGGGUGCUUUGGCUGACAAAUAUGGACCCAUUUUCACCAUCAAAAUUGGUUCCAAAAAGGCUCUGAUAAUCAACAACUGGGAAAUAGCAAAGGAAUGCUUCACCACAAUCGACAUGGUUGUUUCUUCUCGCCCCAAGCUUCUCGCCUCUGAACUCAUGGGCUACAACCAUGCCAUGUUUGGCUUUGCACCCUAUGGUCCCUAUUGGCGCGAGCUACGAAAGAUUACAACGUUAGAAAUCCUUACUACUCGUCGAGUGGAACAGCUGCAGCAUGUUCGUGUCUCGGAACUUCAAAACUGGAUCAAACAGUUGUAUAAUGUUUGGUGCAGCCAAAAGAGUGAAUCUGGCUAUGCCUUGGUGGAGCUGAAGCAAUGGUUUUCUCACCUCUCAUUCAACAUGGUUCUUCAAAUGGUCGUUGGGAAGAGAUAUUUUGGUGGUGAAAACUUGGAAGAUGAGAAGGCACAGAGAUGUGUGAGGGCUAUGAGGGAGUUCAUGCGUCUGUUUGGGGUGUUCACAGUGGGAGAGUUUGUUCCAUGGUUGAGAUGGUUUGAUUUUGGAGGCCAUGAGAAGGCAAUGAAAGCAACUGCAAAAGAGUUGGAUAGUAUUAUAGGUGAGGAGUUAGAGGAACAUAGAAAAAGGAAGGGUUUGGGUGAGAAGGUUGAUGAAGCUAAAGAUUUCAUGGAUGUAAUGAUUUCAUUGCUUGAUGGAACAACUAUUGAAGGGAUCGAUGCAGAUACCAUGAUCAAAUCCACCGUGCUGGUACGUAUGUUUAAUUCACACGUUAUAAUGCUUUGGAAAUGUGAAACUUCAACAAAACUAAACAUAUAAAUACAACAUAAUUCUUCAUUAAAUUUGGUAUUUAGUGUUGAAACACUUGUUGUAGGGGAGAUGAGGAUUAUGGGUAGAAUUAUAUAUAUGGAUGAGGUCUAUGACUGUCUUAUUAUGUUCUAUAGACUCUAUAGGGAGUGGGAACCUUUUGAAUUUUUAUUGGUAUUCUUAAUGUAUUCCUUUUAAUUCAUUUUAUUCAUCAUUGAUAAAAUAAAUUAAAUUUGAAAUAUUUCCUCAGAAACUUACCUUAAAAACAUUACAAAACCCUAAACCAACUUCUCUUACAGAAGUACAGUUUUUUUUUUUUUGGCACAAGAAGUCUAAUUUCUUUCACUUAUUCUUUACACAAGUGUGUUUUAUCGUCUUUACCGUUUAUAUGGGGUUCAUUUGAUAGACAUGAGUGUUUUUUUGGGAGAGUGAGGGAUAUAGUGAUGUUGUGAUUGGGAGAGAAAGGGACAUUUGUGGUGUUGCGUGAAUGAAAAUCCAUGGACCACUUACAAUUUUUUUUUCUGUUUUUCUACUUUGAUUUGGUUUUUGUGAAAAAUAAUGAAAUUUUGAAAAAAAAAACUUGUAAGUUAUACAUCAUUAGUUUAGAAAUUGUUUACUUUUUCGAUGGUGGAAAUUUAUAAUGAUUAUAGAACUCAAGCAAGUAAUCCCUAGAAAAUAAAUUAAAUUAAAUAACUUUUUCUUGUAAAUUAAAAUUAAUUUUAACCUAAAUUGUUUUUAAUAAUACGUUUUCUGAACCUGAUCUUAAUUUUCUUCACUUAAAUAUUUCUCUUGGGUCACUUAUUUGAUUUGCAGGCAGUGAUAUCAGGAGGAACUGACACAACUAAUACAGUUCUUACGUGGGCAUUAUCUUUGAUUUUAAGAAAUCCUUCUGUGCUAGAAAAAGUAAAAGAGGAACUAGACAUUCAUAUUGGAAAAGAAAAAUGCGUAAGUGAGUCCGAUAUAAGUAAGUUAAUAUAUGUUCAAGCUAUAGUCAAAGAAACUUUAAGAUUGUAUCCUCCUGCUCCUACUUCGGGACCUCGUGAAUUCACAGAGAAUUGCACUUUAAGAGGUUAUAAUAUAAAAAAGGGAACCCGACUAAUCAUAAAUCUUUGGAAGAUUCAUACAGAUAGUAAUGUUUGGGAAGAUCCUUUAGAGUUCAAACCAGAAAGGUUUCUUACAACUCAUAAAGAUACUGACAUCAAAGGCCAUCAUUUCGAGUUAUUACCAUUUGGGGGUGGUAGAAGAAUUUGUCCAGGAGUAUCCUUUGGCCUUCAAAUGGUGCAUUUCAUUCUUGCUAGUCUUUUGCAUUCUUUUGAAAUUAUAAGUUCAUCACCAAAUCCUAUUGAUAUGACUGAAAUCUUUGGAUUAACCAACACCAAAGCCACUCCACUUAAUAUUCUUAUUAAACCACGCCUAUCUCUUAAUUGUUAUGAAAACAACUAAGCCUUUUAUUAGCUACGUGAUUACAUUGUAUUUUUGUUUCUACUAAAUAAUUCAAAGUACUUGCUAUGUUUGUAGUUCCUCAAAUUGUAUAUUUGUAUUUUCGUUUAUCAGUACUUGUAACAUUUGUAGUUUACUUUUGUAAAUUUUGUAACUCUUUUAAAUAUAUAAUUGAUAAAAGUAUAAUUACAGCGUAUAUUCUCACCAUUUUAACUUUUUUAUUCUUUAUUGAUUUUUUUUUUCUUAUCAUUCUUAUUGUUGCGUUGUUAAAAUUUAAGUUUGUAUUUUUGACUAUUUUUGUUUAGUUCAUUUUCAUAUACUAGAAAUAACGAUGAUAAUUUGCUUAUUUUCUUUUUUUCAAACAUCAAUGUUUAUCGACUCAAGAAAUCAUAUAUACCAAAUUUAUAUUAUUUUAGUUUUGAACAAAUCAACUUACUAUCUACUUAAUUUUUCAAUUUUUUCAACCAAUCAAAUUAGUUCAUCUUCAACUUAAUUAAUCCUACCUCGUUAUCAAUAUCUAAAAAUAAGAAUUUUCAUCAUCUUAAUAUCAAAUAAAAUUUGUUAACAUUUUUAGUUUUUUUUUUAAAGUUAUUGAGCUUUGUUUGUUUGGCCCAACUUUCUUUUUCUGUUUCAACUAGAUCUUAGUCUUUUUCUUAUAUAUACACAAUGUAUUUUACUCUCUAAUACACACAUAAAUAAGAAUUUCUUUUGUAUUUUUUUUCUCUGCGUUUCUCUCUUUUAUGCUUAAGUCGUUGUCUUCUUUUCAUUUGCAAUUAGGGUUCAUUAGAACCUCCCUCUCUCCAUUGCGAUUACGUGCGCUCCAUUUGAUGCACCACAUCAAACAAGGAAUAUUCAUCUUCAUUAACUGUAAUAUGGUAUCAGAGCUCUUCAUUCGAAGAGCUCUGUUGCGCUUCUCUAUGAUCUUUAUUUCCUCCUUUGUUGUUCUUGGUUAUCUUUUCUAUUAUCUUUCAAAAUCUUGAUUGGGUUUCAAAAUCUCUUAGACAAUGUCUAAUGAAAACCAUAGUCUUCAUAGUCUUAAUAGUAGUCACACUAUUACAUGCAAUUUUUGUGGUAAAUACGGUCAUACUGAGGUUGUUUGUUUCGCAAAGUGGGUUUUCCUUCAGGUAAUGUUAAAACCUCAAAGUUUUAUUCUACUAGAAAAGUCUACACUUUUUGUAAUCGUCUAAAAAAGUAUGGGUUUUCUCCUGGCUACAAAUUCACCAAUUGGACAUCCCAAGGCAAUAGUACAAUUACUACUGAUACUUUUUUUGAACUUUUUCCUAAAGAACAGGAUGUAAAGGGAAUUCAACUUACAUCACAAUAGUGCCAAUUAGAUAUCAAUUUAAUAACUAUUUAUCAUUAAUAGAAACUAAUUUAGAAAUUAAUAAUUUUUUAAUAUCUAAAAUGGUCUCUAAUUUAAUCAAUAUAGUAACUAAUUAUUUUUUGUCUCUAAAAUUAGUUUUUAAUUAAAUAUUAUUUUUAGUGCUUGUUUAUCGCAUUUAAAUUUCAUUUCAAUUACUCAAUAAUAAACCAAAUAAUAUAUUUUUAUAAAUUUGGUGAAUAUAAAAGUUAUGUGUUACAAUUUUAUUGGUAUAAUAGACUUUUAUCUAGUCUUUUCUUAAAACUUUUUAUUAAUAGAUAUAUACUAUAUAUGUAUAUUUUUGUUAAUAUAUGGAUUUUAAUCUAAUUUCCUAUAUUUACUUGUAUUUCAUUUUUUUUAAUAAUAUAUUUUUUAUGUAGUGAUAGAUUAUUGUUAUUAUUUGAAGUGUGAUGUGAAGUUCCAAUGUCUGAUAUGAGAUUUUUUUAUUUUUUAUUUUAAUUUUUGUGUUAGUUUAAUGAAUAAAAAAAAUGAAUUCGGUAUGUAUAUUGUUUGAUAGUAAUAUAUGGUAGCCGCAAUAUUAACUAUUAAAAUAUCAUUUUGGUUUGAUUUAAUAUUUCAACAUUAUUAAAGUUUUACAUGUAAGAUAUUUUAAUCAUUUACUUAUUUUAAUGAUAUUUUCAAGAAAAAAAAUGUAGUUGACAAUAUAUUUUUAGAAAUCAAAUUGAUACAGGUUCAUCUUUCAAGAUCUACUAUAUAUCAAAGAUAAAAUUACUAAAAGAAUAUAAAAUAUCCUAUGUUUAUAAUUCUUUUAUUAAAAAUAAAUAAAUUUGGAUUUUUUUUAAAUGUUUACGGUUUACCUGUGAUUUUAUAGAGUAUUUUGUCCAAUUCAAUGAUAAGGAUUUUUUUUUAUGAUCAAAGAAUAAAUAAAAUAAAAUGAGACAUUUCAUGAGUGUUUCAACCCUUAUACAAAACAUUCAAAACAGGUUUCCUAGCAUCCUAUCAACCAAAGAUCCAACAAACAUUACACUACAAACCAAAACAAUAAACUAGUUCAAGAUAUAGAAACCUAACAAAUACAGUUACAUCAAUCCACCAAAGAGAUCACACCAACUAAACAAGAUCUUUGUCAGCAGGCUGAAGUGCCAUAACCAAGUGUCGAACUCAAUAAAACCGAUCCUACAAGAAGAAAAUGUAAACCAAAAUUAGUUCACCAAAGAGAUCACACCCUUAGUAUAGGACACAACAUCCAACACCUAAACAAUAACUUUGCAAUAGACUGAAGUACGCCAAAUAAUCAAUUGUCAACAUCAACAAACCGAUCCUACGAGGAGGAUAAAUAAACUAGAGAUAUCCUGCAAAAAGCACACAACAACUUCCCAAACUGGAUAGAUCAGUAACCAAAAACACCACAUAUCAAUCUCCCAAAGCUCAAACACCAUAAAGAUUCAAACACCAAACCGAGAAGCAUACAUCAAAAACACUUCCUUUACCGCAGCAAUCCAGGAACAAAAUCAUCAACCUGACCCUGCCAAGUAGAAAAGACCAAAAAAACCUGCACAAACACAUUAUAUCUUUCAAACCUGCAGGAAGAAAUCAUAAGCCAAAUAGACAUGCACACAACACAAACACCUCCCAAACGCAACUCAAGGACACACACCCCAAUCCAACCUUACCAGAUGGGAGGACCUGAUGAAACCUGCAGAAAACACACCACUACUUCCGAUUCCGAUUCCGAUUCCGAUUCCGAUUCCGAUUCCGUUUAUGAGGAAAAGCAUUUAUCUAAAUUGAGGACAAAAUUUAACAUUGCACUUUAAUCUGUAUUGUUUAAUUUUUUGGUCAUAGAAGAUAACAAAUCAAACUCACCUCCUUCACACAUCGUUGCAUAUGACUAGAAGCCAAAUUAAUCACGGCUUUGGGUGAAGCUUUUAUUAUUUUCAAUGCGAUCAAACAGAAAAAGACGUGUUCCAAUGGAUUAUUUUAAAUAAACAUUUCGAUAUUUUACCAAAUCUAGAUGGUUAGUUUUCUUGUUAUUUGUAGACGGUUUAUCUUAGUGUUUUUAUUUGUAGAUAUGGUUAGAUGCUUUGUAAUUCAUCUUUAAAUCUUAUCAAUAACUUUUUUUUUUUAGCUUUUAUUUAUGAAAAAAAUCUUCGAUUUUCUUUUGCUUUUGUGACAUAGUAAAACAAAAACAUCUAUAAAUGUGUGAAACCAUGGGCAUAGUUCCAAAAGUGGUGUUCUUGAACAAACAGCAACUCCUUCCAUUUUUUUCCACACCCGUUCAGGACAGUUUUGGAUUUACGUGAAAAAGUUUUAAAUAUAUUUUUAUUUUGUCUCCAUAGAGUUAGAAAGUGAGACUCACGACAGCAACAAAUUCUGAAACGUAGUUUUCAACGAACUCAUAACAGGACCACUAGGUUGCGUGAUUUAGGGUACAUUCAAGAAACAUUUCCACAUCAAUUAUUUAAAAACUUAUUAAUUUUUCUAAUUAAGCUCUUUAAUUUAUUAAAAACUUUAUAUUAAUCAGUUCCUCGUAUAAGCUACGAUUUUUUUUUUCUAUUGUUAUGCAUAAAGAUUGGAUCACUCGUGAAUGAUAAAAAAAUUAAAAAAUUCAGAUUUUGAAUAUAAAAAAAAGUUAAUUAGAAUAAAAUAUUUUACUUUGACAGAAACUAAUUAUUAAUUAAUGAGUAUAUAUUUGUUAAUGAAGUAGUUUACUUUAUAUAUUUGUUAAUUACUUGAAGUAAGAAAAACAGUCUUUAUUAUAUAAAAAAAAGUUAAACUUCUUUUAAAAGUGAGAGAUAAGUUUGAGUGAUUUGAAAUGUUUUAUUAAGUAAACUCCACAUAACCCAAUAACCUAUGAAUUUGAAGUAAUUAAAAAUAUUCACGUUUAGUUCUAAUAAUUGUUUUUAUCAUGAGAAGAAACUUGAUAUACUAAGCACCUAAUUACUUGAGUGAAGGCUAACUCUAGAAGAUUCAACACAAGACCCCUUAACCUUCCCACAUUUAUAAUUCAAUUAAUAUCAAGCUAUUAAGGUUAAUCUCUUUUAUGUUCAUAUAUAAUACAAAUUCUUUUUUCAAUAUUACUUCAGGAAUAUUCAACUAUCUUGCAUACCCUUUUUUCUGUAUAGUGGAAAUUUUUGACUGUUUUUUUUCUGACAUUGAAAGAUUCUACAUGUGAUCAGCAAGUGGAGAAGUGUUACCAAGUUGCUCAAAAGCCUUUAUAAGACUUCCACAUCACUUACAAUAACCAACCAAGAUAUAGGUAAUAUUUCCUUAUUAUUUAUCGAUUUACAUUAAUUAUAAUACAAUUUUAUAUUAAUUAUAAAAAAAUUAUAUUUUUUAAUAAGUGAAUAAAAUUAAACAAAGUGACAAGAUAAAUCUAAUCAUGUCAAAAAAUUAAACGAAAAAGAAAACCAAGUUAAAAAUUUAUAAAUUUUGAAUAUUCAAUAAAAAAUUAAAAGUAUUGAAAUUUAUAACAUACUUAAAGAUAAUUACAUUUAUUUCAAAAGUUCUUCUUCUCAGUACACGUGUUUGAAAAAAAUCUUUGACUUCUCCGACAUCUUUGACUGAGUUCAUCACAUAUCCAUUAGACAGAGUUCUUAUGCCACAAGAGUGGAUGAAUUAAUCUUUAUUAAAUAUUUUAAUAAUUUUAUUAGUUAAUCUAAUAAUAAAAUUAGUAAUUUAAUUUACUUUGAAUUUUUUUAACAUAUAUUUAAAUUACUAAUAUCAAUUAAUAAUAUUAACCACACGUUUAAAUCAACAAUUUCACUUUAUAAUUUAUUGUACAAAAAAUUUUAGCUAACAUUUUAAAUUUCAUAUUAAAACUAUUAUAAAGUAUGAUUUAAAUUAGUAAUCAUUCACAAAUUUACAAUUCACUGCAUAAUAAUUUAAAGUUUUAACAUUUUAAAACUUAAGCUUAUAUGUUUUAAAUAUUUUUAUGUUAGCAUAAUUUGAAAAUAAUUAUUCAUUAGUAUUAUUGCUGAGAGUUACAUUUUACAAUACUUUUAAUAACAUUAAAAAGUUAAAAAUAGAUAUAAUUAAUCAUCUUUUGGUCAACGUCCAAAUUUGAGUUAAGAGAAUAUUAUAAAAUGAUUUUUCGAACAAGUGUAUUAAGUCUAAAAUAUUAUAAAAUGAUUUUUCGAACAAGUUAAAGGAGUAAUGUAAGUUAAACAGAUAAUUAAGUCUAAAACAUUAGAAAUAUUAAAUUUAUAAAAUAGCUAAAGAUAAUUAUUUUUAAUUUAUAAUUAUAUAAUUACUUAGUCUUUUGAAAAGUUGUCUUUCCCUCUGAAGCAAUGAAUGAUCUAUUUAACAACUCCUACCUCCAAACAGUAGAUACACUAAACUCCUUCAAAUGGAUUUUGUUCUAAGUUACCUGAAUACCACCACCAUUGGACUUGUUUCUCUUAUCAUCUUCUCUUUCUUUUUCUAUGGUCUCUUCAAAUUUUCUCAAGGGAAAGAAGCUCCCACAGUUGCAGGUGCAUGGCCAAUACUUGGUCACCUUCCAUUGUUGAGUGGUUCAAAGUCACCCCACAGAACUCUGGGUGCUUUGGCUGAAAAAUAUGGACCCAUUUUCACCAUCCAACUUGGUUCCAAAAAGGCUCUGAUAAUCAACAACUGGGAAAUAGCAAAGGAAUGCUUCACCACAAUCGACAUGGUUGUUUCUUCUCGCCCCAAGAUUCUCGCCUCUGAACUCAUGGGCUACAACCAUGCCAUGUUUGGCUUUGCACCUUAUGGUCCCUAUUGGCGCGAGAUACGAAAGAUUACAACGUUAGAAAUCCUUACUACUCGUCGAGUGGAACAGCUGCAGCAUGUUCGUGUCUCAGAACUUCAAAACUGGAUCAAACAGUUGUAUAAUGUUUGGUGCAGCCAGAAGAGUGAGUCUGGCUAUGCCUUGGUGGAGCUGAAGCAAUGGUUUUCUCACCUCGCAUUCAACAUGGUUCUUCGAAUGGUCGUUGGGAAGAGAUAUUUUGGUGGUGAAAACUUGCAAGAUGAGAAGGCACAGAGAUGUGUGAGGGCUGUGGAGGAGUUCAUGCGUCUGUUUGGGGUGUUCACAGUGGGAGAGUUUGUUCCAUGGUUGAGAUGGUUUGAUUUUGGAGGCCAUGAGAAGGCAAUGAAAGCAACUGCAAAAGAGUUGGAUAGUAUUAUAGGUGAGGAGUUAGAGGAACAUAGAAAAAGGAAGGGUUUGGGUGAGAAGGUUGAUGAAGCUCAAGAUUUCAUGGAUGUAAUGAUUUCAUUGCUUGAUGGAACAACUAUUGAAGGGAUCGAUGCAGAUACCAUGAUCAAAUCCACCGUACUGGUACGUAUGUUUAAUUUAUACGUUAUAAUGCUUUCAAAAUGUGAAACUUCAACAAAAACUAAACAAAACUAAACAUAUAAAUACAACAUAGUUCUUAAUUAAAUUUGGUAUUUAGUAUUGUGGUUGGUCUGGUUUUAUAACAAUGUUUAGUGGAGAUGAGGAUUAUGGGUAGAAUUAUAUGCAUGAGGUCUAGAAUUCUCUUGUUAUCUUCUAAGCUUAUAGGGAGUGUGAACCUCUUUACUUUUUAUACGGAUUAGGAUAUCCUUAAACCUUAAAGUAUGUUUUUUAAUUCAUUUUAUUUAUCAUCAUAAAAAAAAUUAAAUUUGAAUUAUUUUCUCAGAAACUGACCUUAAAAACAUUAUAAAAUACCAACUUCUCUAGCAGAAGUACAGUUUCUUUUUCUGGCACAAGAAGUCUAUUUUCUUUCACUUAUUCUUCACGCAAGUGUGUUUUAUCGUCUCUACCGUUUAUAUGGGGUUCGUUUGAUAGAGGGGAGAGAUAUGAGUGUUUUUCGGGAGAGUGAGGGAUAUAGUGAAGUUGUGAUUGAGGGAGAAAGGGACAUUUGUAGUGUUGUAUGAAUGAAAAUCAAUGGACCACUUACAAUUUUUUCUUCUUUUUCUACUUUGAUUUGGUUUUUGUGAAAAAUAAUGAAAUUUUGAAAAAAAAACUUGUAAAUUAUACAUCAUCAGUUUAGAAAUUGUUUACUUUUUCGAAGGUGGAAAUAUGCAAUGAUUAUAGAACUCAUGCAAGUAGUCCCUAGAAAAUAAAUAAAAUUAAAUAACUUUUUCUUGUAAAUUAAAAUUAACUUUAAACUAAGUUAUUUUUUAGUAAUAAGUUUUCCAAACAUAAUCUUAAUUUUCUUUACUUAAAUAUUUUUGUUGGGUGACUUAUUUGAUUUGCAGGCAGUGGUAUCAGGAGGAACUGACACAAGUAAUACAGUUCUUACGUGGGCAAUAUCUUUGAUUUUAAGAAAUCCUUCGGUGUUAGAAAAAGUAAAAGAGGAACUAGACAUUCAUAUUGGGAAAGAAAAAUGCGUAAGUGAGUCUGAUAUAAGUAAGUUAACAUAUGUUCAAGCUAUAGUCAAAGAAAGUUUAAGAUUGUAUCCUCCUGGUCCUCUUUCGGGACCUCGUGAAUUCACAGAGAAUUGCACUUUAAGAGGCUAUAAUAUAAAAAAGGGAACCCGACUAAUCACAAAUCUUUGGAAGAUUCAUACAGAUAGUAAUGUUUGGGAAGAUCCUUUGGAGUUUAAACCAGAAAGGUUUCUUACAACUCAUAAAGAUAUUGACAUCAAAGGCCAUCAUUUCGAGUUAUUACCAUUUGGAGGUGGCAGAAGAAUGUGUCCCGGAGCAUCCUUUGGCCUUCAAAUGGUGCAUUUCAUUCUUGCUAGUUUUUUGCAUUCUUUUGAAAUUAUAAGUUCAUCACCUGAUCCUAUUGAUAUGAUUGAAACCUUUGGAUUAACCAACACCAAAGCCACUCCACUUGAUAUUCUUAUUAAACCACGUCUAUCUCUUAAUUGUUAUGAAAACAAUUAAUCCAUGUGCUAGCUACGUGAUUACCUUGUAUUUUUGUUCCAAGUACUUUUUUGUUCCUACUAAAUAGUUUAAAGUACUUGUUAUGUUUGUAGUUCCUCAGAUAAAUUAUUUUAUAUUUUCGUUUUAAAGUACUUCUAAUAUUUGUUUUUUUUAUUAGUAAAGAAUAAAAUAAAUUAUUGUAAUACUUGUAAUAUUUGUAUUAUACUUUUGUAAAUUUUGUAACUCUUUCAAAUAUAUAAUUGAUAAAAGUAUAAUUAUAAUGUAUGUUGUAAUCUGUUUGCUCUGUUUCUUUGAAGUUGGAACUUGUAUAAAGGUUGAAACACUCUUAAAGUAUUUCCUUUAUUUAAUUCAUUCAUUGUUGAUAAAAAACAAUCUGAAAAAAAAUUCAAGUAGUUGACAGCUGCAACAAUCUCAAAGCUCCCAAAGCCCAUCUUGUAUGAUUUAAUCCUGUAAUGAAAAAAAUGGGCAUUUUCUUCCUGCACCCCUACAUUUUUCUUCCUGCACACCCACAAAUUUGUAAAUUUCGAAACUGACCUCCACAAUUUCAGGAUCUAAGAGUGUGUUACGGCUUCAUCAAUCCAAAAGUGAAUCAUGUUGCAUUCUGGAUGAGGGGGUAUUCCGGAAGCCUAAUUUCUAUUACGGAUUGGUGGAUCCGGAAUGAUUUUUUUCAAUUAUUGAUUUCUGAAUCCAGAAUGCAUAUUUUGAAUUACGGAUUGGCGGAUCAGGAAUGGUUUUUUCAAUUAUGGAUGUUUUGCAUUUUUUUUAUUUUGGAUUAACAUUAUCAUUCAUGUACUACUAGAAGCACCAAUCCGGGAGAUUACCGGAAGCGCCAAUCCAAAAAUUUACUGGAAGGGCCAAUCCGAAAAUUUACCAGAUUUCAUAAUCUGGAAUACAAAUUUUUUUAUAAAUGUACAGUUUAUAUAGGGACAGUUUUGUCUUUGCGCAACUUUGUGGGGGUGCAGGAAGAAAAAUGUCGGGCUGCAGGAAGAAACUGCCAAAAAAAUGAAAAAAAAUUGCAGCCUCAUCUUGUAUGGGGUUGUUUCUUCCUGCACCUCCAUAUAUUCUUCUCCCACCUCUAUAAAUUUUCAUAUUUCCAAAAAUACUCCUCUCUCCCACCUUCAUAUAUUCUUCUCUCACCUCCAUAAAUUUUCAUAUUUCCAAAAAUACUCUUAUGUAAUAUUCUGGAUUAUUUAAUCCAGAAGUCUUUUUUCAAAUUUGUAAUUAGCUUCCGGAUUACAUAAUCCAGAAGCCUUUUUUCAGGUGCAUGAUUAGUUUCCAGAUUAUAUAAUUUGAAAGUUUUUUUUAGCUUACAGAUUACAUAAUCCGGAAGUCUGUUUUCAAGCUACUCUAAGAUAAUGAAACAAGAAGGAAGCUACUCUAAAGAGAUGACACAAGAAGGCUAAAAAGUAUUUUCAUCAAGAGGUGUAGGAAGAAACAGUCCUUGUAUGAUUCAAUCCCAGUGUUAAAGCUCAGCGAAGUUUCUCAAAAGCCUUUGCACAUUAUCCUUACAAUAACCAAGAUAAUUCUUUAUUAUCCCAUCCCUUUUUAAUAAAAAAUAUUUAUUUAUCGAUUUAUAUUAAUUAUAAUAUCGUUUACAUUAAUUAAAAAAUAUAUUGUUUUAAUACAUUAAGAUAAUUAAAUAAAAUGACAAGAUAAAUAAAAAUCAUGUCAAAAAAUUAAACAAAAAAAAAUACUAAGUUAAAAAUUUAAAAAUUUCGAAUAUUCAAUAAUUUUUUUUAUUAAAAGUAAUUAAAUAUAUUCAAAUUUAUAAAAUACUUAAAAGAUAAGUACAAUUAUUUGAAAAGUUUUAGUCACGUGUGUUUUGAAAAAAAAUCCAACUUUUUUAGUUUCUUAUAUAAACUUGAGUUGGAAAAGAAUAGUUUGACAAAAAUGUACCUCUUCACCAAGCCAUCAACUUGGCUUUGAAUGAUCUAUUUAAGAAUACCACUACCAUUGAUUGUACUCAACAAAGCUCAAAUGGAUUUUGUUCUAAACUACUUGAAUACCACUGCCAUUGCAAUUCUUUCUCUAAUCCUCUUCUGUUUAUUCUUCUACAAUCCCUUCAAUCUUUUUCAAACCAAAGAGGCUCCCACUGUUGCAGGAGCAUGGCCAAUACUUGGUCACCUUCCACUUCUGACUGGUUCAAAGAGACCCCAUAGAACUUUGGGUGCUUUGGCUGACAAAUAUGGACCCAUUUUCACCAUCCAACUUGGUUCCAAAAGGGCCUUGGUAAUCAACAACUGGGAAACGGCAAAGGAAUGUUUCACCACAAACGACAUGGCCGUUUCCUCUCGCCCCAAGCUCGUCGCCGCUGAACUCAUGGGCUACAACCAUGCCAUGUUGGUCUUUGCACCCUAUGGUCCCUAUUGGCGCGAGCUACGAAAGAUUUUAACUUUAGAAAUCCUUACUACUCGUCGAGUGGAACAGCUGCAGCAUGUUCGUGUCUCAGAACUUCAAAACUGGAUCAAACAGUUGUAUAAUGUUUGGUGUAGCCAAAAGAGUGAGUCUGGCUAUGCCUUGGUGGAGCUGCAGCAAUGGUUUUCUGACCUCUCAUUCAACAUGGUUCUUCGAAUGGUCGUUGGGAAGAGAUAUUUUGGUGGUGAAAACUUGCAAGAUGAGAAGACAAAGAGAUGUGUGAAGGCUGUGGAGGAGUUCAUGCGUCUGUUGGGGGUGUUCGCAGUGGGAGAUGCUGUUCCAUGGUUGAGAUGGUUUGAUUUUGGAGGCCAUGAGAAGGCAAUGAAAAAAACUGCGAAAGAUUUGGAUAGUAUUAUAAGCGAGGAGUUAGAGGAACAUAGAAAAAGGAAGGGUUUGGGUGAGAAGGUUGAUGAAGCUAAAGAUUUCAUGGAUGUAAUGAUUUCAUUGCUUGAUGGAAGAACUAUUGAAGGGAUCGAUGCAGAUACCAUGAUCAAAUCCACCGUACUGGUACGUAUGUUUAAUUUACACGUUAUAAUGCUUUGGAAAUGUGAAACUUUAAGAGAAUUAAACAAAUAAAUACAACAUAGUUCUUAAUUAAAUGUGAAAUAUUUUCUCAGGAACUUACCUUAGUUGUGAAUAUAUAUAUUCUACUUCGUCGGUUUAGAAUCAGUUGUAUGAAAAUAUAAGGUAUAACACUUUCGUCUUAAUGAUGUAAAAGCAUUACAAAAUUCUUCACACAAGUGUGUUUUAUCGUCUUUACCGUUUAUAUGGGGUUCAUUUGAUAGACAUGAGUGUUUUUUGGGAGAGUGAGGGAUAUAGUGAUGUUGUGAUUGGGAGAGAAAGGGACAUUUGUGGUGUUGGGUGAAUGAAAAUGAAUGGACAACUUACAAGGUGUUUCAACUUUUUUUUAUAUCUCCUAGUUAAUUAUUCCAAAAGCUACAAAACAACUACCAAAUUUUCCACUCAAAUUUGGUUUUUGUGAAAAAUAAUGAAAUUUUGAGAUUUUUUUUUUAAUUGUACAUCAUCAGUUUAGAACUUGUUUAAUUUUUCCAUGGAGGAAAUGUAAAUUAUUAUAGAACUCAUGAAGUAUUCCGUAGAAAAUAAAUAAAAUUAAAUUUUUUUCUUGUAAAUUAAAAUUAAGUAUAACCUAAGUUAUUUUUAGUAAAAAGUUUUUCAAAUAUAAUCUUAAUUCACUAUAACAAAAUUAUUAAAUAAAAACUAAUUUUAGGAACCAAAAUAAUUAGUUAUUAUUUGUUUAAAUUAGAGAUCAUUUUAUAAAUUAAAAAAAUUAUUGGUAUGGAAAGUAGUUUUUAUUAUUAAUAAAAAUUUAUAAAAUAGAUUUUUAAAUUGGUAUAUAACCAUUAACUACCAAGAUUUUAACUACUUACUACUUUAUAUUCUAAAUCGGUCUCUAUUAGUCUUUUAUAGACUAAUUUAAAAUAUAAAAUAUUAGUAACUAAAAUCUAGAUAAUUAAUUUAGAUACCAAUUUAGAAAAUAUUUUAUAAAUUUUUAUUAAUAAUAGAAAUUAUCUUAGAUACCAAUAAUUUCUUAAUCUCUAAAUAAGUAUCUAAUUUAGUCAAUAUAGUGACUAAUUAUUUUUUAUGUUUAAAUUGGGUUGCUUUUAAUGAUUUUUUUUCUAGUGAUUUUCUUCACUUAAAUAUUUUUGUUGGGUAACUAUUUUGUUUUGCAGAAUGUGAUUGCAGGAGGAACUGACACAAACAAUACAGUUCUUACAUGGACAAUAUCUUUGAUUUUAAGAAAUCCUUUGGUGUUGGAAAAAGUAAAAGAUGAACUCGACACUCAUAUUGGAAAAGAGAAAUGCGUAAAUGAAUCUGAUAUAAGUAAGUUAACAUAUCUUCAAGCCAUAGUCAAAGAAACUUUAAGAUUGUAUCCUCCUGGUCCUCUUUCGGCACCUCGUGAAUUCACAGAGAAUUGCAUUUUAAGAGACUAUAAUAUAAAAAAGGGAACCCGACUAAUCACAAAUCUUUGGAAGAUUCACACAGAUAGUAAUGUUUGGGAAGACCCUUUGGAGUUCAAACCAGAAAGAUUUCUUUCAAAUCAUAAAUAUAUUGAUGUCAAAGGUCAUCAUUUUGAGCUAUUACCAUUUGGAAGUGGUAGAAGAAUAUGUCCAGCAAUAUCUUUUGGCCUUCAAAUGGUGCAUUUCACUCUUGCUAGGUUUUUGCAUUCUUUUGAAAUUGUAAGUCCAUCACCUGAUCCUAUAGACAUGACUGAAACAUUUGGAUUAACCAACACUAAAGCCACUCCACUUGAUAUUCUUAUUAAACCACGUCUAUCUCUUAGUUGUUAUGAAAACAACCAUUCCUUGUCUUAGCUACGUGAUUACAUUGUAUUUUUGUUCAAAGUACUUUUUUGUUCAUACUAAAUAGUUCAAAGUAUUGUAGUUCCUCUAUUAUAUAUUUGUAUUUUUGUUCAAAAGUACUUGUAAUAUUUGUAGUAUUAAACAUAUAAAUACAACAUAGUUCUUAAUUAAAUCUGAAAUGUUUUCUCAGGAACUUAACUUAGAUAUGAAGAUAUGUAUUUUACUUCAUCGGUUUAAAAUCAAUUGUAUGAAAAUAUAAGGUUUAACACUUUCGUUAAUGAUGUAAAAACAUUACAAAAAAUUUCAUGCAAGUGUAACACUUUCGUUUAUAUGGGAUUUGUUUGAUACAGGGGAGAGAUAUAAGUGUUCUUUUAGAGAGUGAGUAGUGACGUUGUGAUUGUUACAUAAUCUUAACAAACUAUUUAUUGUUUUCAAAGACUGGUCAAAGCAUUUAAAACUAGAGCGUAUUCAGUUAUAAAAUCAUUUAAAGCUCAUUCAAAGCACAAAAUAGUUUUCUGUUAUGGUCCCAAAACAAACAAUCAGUUGAAUGCUCGAAUCAAUCGGUUGUUUUGGUUUGACAGCAAGUCAACCAUCAAAAACAGUUUUCAACCUUUCUAAAAACACUUAAGUAUAAAACAAUUGGUUGUUUCGACAAAAUAACAGGUUAUUUUUCACUUAGUUUAAAAAAAAACUUUCAAUUAAAAGGUUUGAGAAUGCUUAAGUUUUGGAUUCAAUCAAGAGUGGAUUAACACAGACAAUCUACCCCAUAUCCUAUUCUAAAACACCUCAGCAACAGCAAACACAUCCAGCCUUCCUUCGAUCUUCAAAGGAUUUGGAUUCUUUAAAGCUUGAACACACUUGAUUCAACAAACACUACUUAGUGUUGACCUUCAAAGGACGAUCCUAAUGAUUUAGAGUAUACUACAUGUGCAAUGCAAAUCUCACAUUAUUAACUAAUUAGCAUUGUUUUUACUUAUUAAAGUUUGAACGAUCCUAUAAUAAUGUAUUUUCUUAUAGCAGAAAUAAAAGUUAAAAACUUUUCAAAAGGAAAUAGAAACUAAAAAUGAUAACAAAAUAUAAAAAUCAAGUUGGAGAAGAUAAUUUUGAGAACAUGUAUUAGUUAUGGUGACUUUAAUUGAAUUUCUCACCAUCAAUUCGGGGAAAAACAAUUUUCAACAACAAUAAAUAGUUAAAUAAAUAGAAAUAUUAGGAGUACUUCAGCCAUAUACAAAAACCUACCCUGUAGAAAAGGCUAAUACAAAGUAGGAAAAUACCCAACACCGUAUAGAUUAAUAUGAAUAUAUAUCCAUGAGUAUGGUGUAUAGAACCUCUAACAAAAAGUUAUAAUAGUGCUUCAUUCAUACAUAAUGUCAGGGAAUAAAAACGCCUAACAACACGGCCCUUCCUAUCACAAAGCUGGUACGUCUUCAGACUCACUAUCUGAUGGGGAUUUUUUGAACUGCAAUUUGAGAUUAUGUGAGCCCAGAAUUUCGGGGGAAUCAUCUAAGUUAUGGGAGAUUGGAAAGCAAUCUGGGAUAAUCUGUAGGUGGGACGAAGAAGAGGUUGUGAAAGAAUACGAUUGCAUGGAAGAGAGAGAUGUUCAGGUUAUGGAAAAGUAUGAGGAGGGUAAAAAGAAAGAGCAUCUAUGUUGAUAGUAAAUUUGAACAUAAGAAGGUUAGGGGGAAGUACUAAAGCUCGAUAUUUAAAGCACAUUAUAACUAGAGAGGAGGCGGAUUUUGUAUGUAUUCAGGAAACAAAACAGAUGGUCCUUUCGGAUGCAAGAUGCUUUUCCUUAUGGGGGGAUAAUAAUGUGGGAUGGGUACAUUACGGAGGAGACAAUGGUAGUGGUAGUCUGCUCUCUAUGUUGCAUAAAGAAGUUUUCUGCUAUGACUCUCAUGUGAUGGGGAAGGGGUUUAUUGUUGUGUUUGGCCAACAUAAGGGUUCAAAAUGUAGGUGUGUGGUGGUGAAUGUUUAUGCUAAUUGUUCCCUGAGUGAGAAGGUAUCCUUGUGGGGGGAACUGACAAACCUAAAGAAGGGUUCAGCAGACUCCGUUUGGUGCUUCUGUGGUGACUUCAAUGCCAUAAGAAAGCGGUGUGAAAGAAAAGGAGUUAAUAUGCGGGACAACCAAUCCAAUGAGAUGAGAGGUUUUAAUAGCUUCAUUGAUACUAAUUUUCUUAUUGAAAUACCUUUGGUGGGAAAGCCCUUUACGUGGUUUAAUUCAAAUGGCAAGGCUAAGAGCAGGCUAGACAGGGUGUUGGUUACCGAAGAUUGGAUGCAAACAUGGCCUAUGUGCAAGCAAUAUGUGCAACGUAGGGAGGUGUCAGACCAUUGCGCCAUAGUGGUGAAAUCUGUGGAGAAGGACUAGGGUCCUAAACCUUUCAGAUCUAUAGAUGCAUGGUAUACGGAACAGGGUUUUGGCCAUAUGGUGAAGGAAAAAUGGAUAUCCUAUCCCUCUCAGGGGAAUGCCUUCACAGUGAUAAAAGAAAAGAUGAAGAGGUUGAAGGGGGAUUUGAAGGUGUGGAAUAGGGAUGUCUUUGGAAAUCUGGAGACAACAAAGAAAUCCAUUUUGUUGGAGCUUGAGGCUCUAGAUUGCCAAGACUGUAGUGUAGGGUUAUUGGAAGAUGAGAGAUUACACAGAAUUGGUUUGGUGAGUAGAUUGAAGGAGACUGAUAAGAAGCUAGAGUCUUUGUUGUGCCAAAAAGCUAGAGCCAGUUGGUUAAAGAGUGGAGACUCAUGCACGGAAUUUUACCACACUUCUCUAAGAUGGAGACGGCUAAAAAAUGAAGUUAAAGGUGUUAAGGUGGGGGGCCAGUGGUGUGAAGAGCCUUGUACAAUCCGUGGUGAAGCUAAGAAGUUGUUUGAAAAAAGGUUUGAGGCAACAAGAGAUUUUGGUGUUAGACUUGAUGCGGUAGAGUUUAAUUCUUUAAACCAGGAGGAGAAUUUAAAGCUGAUAGCAGAGUUCACAGAGAAGGAAGUUAGGGAUGCGGUGUGGCUUUGUGAAGGUUCCAAGUCCCCAGGACCUGACGGGUUUAAUUUUCUCUUCAUAAAGAAAAGCUGGGAGUUCAUCAAAGUAGAGUUUAUGGCAGCUUUGGCUUCUUUUCAUAGUACAGGUCAUAUUCCCAAAGGUUGUAAUGCCUCUUUCAGUGCUCUUGUUCCUAAAGUUGGAGAUCCAAUCCUGCUUGAGCAGUAUCGUCCUAUCUCUUUAGUUGGGGCCACCUACAAAAUUAUCUCUAAGGUCCUAGCAGGAAGAAUGAAGAAUGUACUUUCCUCUAUUAUUAAUGAAAGCCAGUCGGCUUUUAUUAAGAACAGAGGGAUACUCGAAAGUGUGCUUAUGGGUAAUGAAGUAGUGGAGGAUCUCAGGAGGAGUGGGAGAAGUGGAUUGUGUCUGAAGGUGGAUUUUGAAAAGGCGUACGAUUCGGUUAGCUGGGUCUUCCUUUACGACAUGCUCCAAAGGUUAGGGUUCCAUAGUAAGUGGAUUGGUUGGACCAGAGGUUGUAUGGAAAGUGCAACAUUCAGUUCUGGUUAAUGGGAGCCCUGCGGAGGAAUUCAAACCCUCGAGAGGGUUGAGGCAGGGCGACCCUCUUGCGCCAUUCCUCUUUACAGUGGUAGCAGAAGGUUUGGCUGGUAUAGUAAGGCAAGCGGAAAAGGCCAGAUUACUUUCUGGUCUUAAGAUUGGGAGAAAGGAGGUUGUACUGAGUAUCCUACAGUAUGCAGAUGACACUGUUUUUUUCUGUGAGGACUCUUACACCAACGUGGUGACACUGAAAUCCAUCCUCAGGGGGUAUGAGCUCGCUUCAGGGCUGAAGAUCAAUUUUCACAAGUCAAAACUUACAGGUAUUAAUGUUCAAAGAAGUAAUCUUGAUUGCUACACAAAGACUUUGAAUUGUGUUCAGACGGGUUUCCCGUUCAAAUAUUUGGGUCUUGAAGUGGGAGGUAAUUCGAGAAAGAAGAAGUUUUGGGAGCCUGUGAUAAACAAACUUAAAGCAAGGCUCAACGUGUGGAAAGGAAGAUUCCUAUCUAUGGCAGGGAGAAUAUGCCUUAUUAAAUCUGUUUUAUCCUCCGUCCCGCUAUACUAUCUGUCACUUUUCAGAGCACCGAUCACGGUUUGUAGAAGUAUCACCAGAAUCCAAAGGAGGUUCCUAUGGGGGUGGGGGAAGGAGAAGGAGACGAUAUCAUGGGUAAGUUGGAAAGAGUUAUGUAAGCCAAAAGAGGAGGGUGGUCUGGGUUUGAGAGAUGUGCAUAACUUCAAUCUUGCUUUGCUGGCUAAAUGGAGAUGGCGUCUCCUAGUGGAUGAAAAAGUUAGGUGGAAGGAUCUGUUGGUCUCGAAGUAUGGAUCGAGUUCUAAUGCUUCACAGUCACCAGUGAAACUUCAAUCAUGAUGGUGGAGAGACUUGUUCAAAGAUUGCAGGGAGGACAGAGGAGAUGAUUGGUUCAACAAAGAGAUCGGGUGGAAGCUAGGAUGUGGGGACAAAGUAAAGUUUUGGAAAGACAUAUGGAUUGGGAACUUUAAUCUCAAAUCGAUGUACCCAAGGCUUUUUUCUUUGUCUUUAAAUCAGGGGCAAAAGGUGGAGGAGGCUAGAGUGUGGAUUGGAACGGUAUGGCAGUGGUGUUUAAGGUGGAGGCGUCCUAGAUUUGUGUGGGAAUCUGAAUUGGAAGUAGAAAUGAUGAGGCAUUUGUCGUCGAUUAAGUUGAGCAGAGAACAAAAGGACGUCCAAGUGUGGGGGAAUGAUGUAGGAAAUGGGUUCUCUGUGAAUUCUGCUUAUGAUUGCCUUACAAAACAACGUAGAGGCUCACACUCAGAGGUAUUCAUAAACCUUUGGAAGGUUAAAGCUUUCCCUAGUUUGGUGACUACAACGUGGAGGAUCCUUGUUGGGUUUAAUAGUGCCAAAGUUCAAGAGGGGGGUGAAUUGACCUUUUAAAACUUUCUCGCAGAAACAGUGUUUAACACAGUUUUACAGAAAAUAAAUCGAAUUAUGUAAAAAUGAACAGAUUUAUUUCAGCACUGUUUUUGUUUGAAAAGCUUUUAAUACAGCAAGAUUAAUCACAAGAUUAUGCAGAUAGAUUUUCCAGAUGCACACACACAGAUAUCAUAUUGAAAAACAGUGAAACACAGAAAACAACAAACCUUAAUUCCAAUUAAUGUGAUUUAGGUUCAGUUAAGGGCUUGACAAUUAGUGAGACAAUCUAUCACAUACAACCUGUUUUAUUAGCCUUUAACAGAUUAUCAGUGUUCUUGUUAAAACCAGACAGUUUUCCAGAAAUUAAGAACAAUAUGCACAGCGCCCAGAAAGAACAGAUUUAUUUUCAAUUGAACAGAUUUAUUUCUUUGCUGUUUUAUCAAUUAUGCAGAAACGAAAUUGCAGAGAGUGAGAGAGAAUGAACACAAGCANNNNNNNNNNNNNNNNNNNNNNNNNNNNNNNNNNNNNNNNNNNNNNNNNNNNNNNNNNNNNNNNNNNNNNNNNNNNNNNNNNNNNNNNNNNNNNNNNNNNUUAUACUGGUUCACUCAACUGAGCUACAUCCAGUCUUCACCAACACCAGGUGGAAAUCACUAAACCACAGUACAACCAAGUACAAUUCCCACUGUUCUUGAAACCUACAAGAACUUAGGUACUCUUGCUGAAAAAACCUAUUUCAGCACACACACACCCACUCUUCAAGAACACCUAUCAAGAAGAGUGUUCAACCAAACUAUUACAAGAAAUGAGAAGUGAAACGACUCCACCUGAUUGAGGAUACAAAGAUCUACCUUAAACCAGUAGGCAAGAUUGCUAGAACAGUAGCAGCACCUCACACCAAACUUUUGGAACCAAACCAAGAACAAGCACUUUGUGAUUUUUGAAAUCUUUGAAGAACAAAUGCUAAUCAUUUGUAAACUUUUGAUUCUUUGCUGUAAAACUUGUUUUUGCAAAUGUAUGAACUGUUGUUAAACUCAGAAACAAGUUUGCAUUUUAUAGAAAACCAACUUAUAACAGAUUUUUGAAAAACAGUUAAAGCUGUUAUAAAAUGAACAGAUUGAAAAUAAAAUGAACAGAUUUAUUUUCAAAAAACAGUUAGAGAAUUUGUUAAGUGAGGAGACUUAGUCAACCAUUCUGGUGCAGAGAUAAAACUGAAAACGUUUAAGCUUGACAUGGCACCAGAGACAAAAAGNNNNNNNNNNNNNNNNNNNNNNNNNNNNNNNNNNNNNNNNNNNNNNNNNNNNNNNNNNNNNNNNNNNNNNNNNNNNNNNNNNNNNNNNNNNNNNNNNNNNAGUCAAAAUACCUGAUGCACAAAAUCUAAUUUUCACAAGACUUAGCCAAGGCAUCAGUGUAAAAACGAAUCUGUUUAUUUAGAAAAGAACAGAUUUAUUUUUAUGCAGUAAACGUGUUUUUUGUAAAACAUGUGAAAAACAGUUUAAGAAAACUUAUGCUUGUUCUUAUCACAUGGCCAGUGGUUAUGAGGUGAGUUACUCAGCAAAAAGCCCACUCUUAGACAACCUCUAAGCACUACCUAAGACAUACUUAAAGCAAAGCAAAAUACAAAUGUAAUGUACAUAGAUGUCUUCAUCAAACACAAUCUUGAAGGAGCAACAACCAUCUUCAACAAUCCUGACGAACAGUGUACCAACAAGAGAAUGUCUAAGUAGGAGAGGGGUGAUGUUAAAUAAUGCCUUAUGUGCUCUGUGCCAGGUUAAUGCUGAAUCAUGUCAACAUCUUUUUUUGGAGUGUAAACACGCGAUGAGUGUUUGGUUCAUGUGCUUUAGAUGGGUUGGGAUUCUGUUUGUUCAACAUAAUGAUGUAAAGACCCACUUUGAGAAUUUCCACUUGUUUCAGAUUAGCAGUAAACAAAAUAUGGUUUGGAAAGGGAUUUGGACAGCAGUGGUUAGAUGCAUAUGGGACCAAAGGAAUUCGGUGGUGUUCAAGCAAGGUGUUGUGGAUGUGGAGGAGAUUUUUCAAAAGGUACAGUUAAAAUCCUGGUUAUGGGUAAAGCACCAUUCUUCUUUCUUCUCUUAUUCCUUAGUGGACUGGAUUUUGAAUCCAAUCCCCUGUAUAAAAAGCAUUAAGUAAUUGGGGCUGGUAGGUAUUGUUUCAGCUGGGAAUGUCGGGCUUGUUUAACCUCUGUGGGGCACGUGUGCAGUUAUGAAAACUUGUUAUUCUGUGCUGGAGGAUGCUCAAAUAGGUGCAGACAGUAGGCCGAAGUGAUUGGGGUACAUUAGAGGAAUUUAUCGGAUUUAUGCAGAAAGGUGGUUUGGCCACAAUGAGCAAAAGUUAGAGGCAUAGGACCAGUAAGAGGACAUGAAGUUUUGGGGUUGCUGUUUGGGUUUGCUGGGGCUGCAGAGGUCCCGUAAUGGGAUGCAAAGACGCUGAGCCUAGGGUUGUAAUAGGUGGGAUGUUGUUCGACGUGAGGAAUGGUGAGGAAUGGAGAGGUAACUUAUAUAACAACUAGGAUUUUUUUAGUGUAGAUUGACAGGGAGGAGCACCAACCAUGAAGAAUCAGAAUUGGAGAAGUUCUGGAAAAUCCUGCUGCUGGUGCAUAAACAAGAGCAGGAACUUUAUCUGUUUCUUUUUUCUUUGUCUUAGGAACAAAUCUUAUGUCUUUGGCUGAGUAAUUGAAAGCUUCUCCAUGCUUUUAAUUCUCUGGAUUGUAAUUGAGUAUUUGAUAUUUGUAUAAGGGUUGGGAUACCCCUCAAGUGUCCCGUUUUUAUUCAUUAAUUCAUUGCUGAUCAAAAAAAAAAAAAACACCACUAUACUUCUCAACCACAAUUCCUAAAAUUACGCACAAAAAUGACCCAACCAACCUUGUUACAAAUCUUAUAAAAUUAAAUAGAUACAAUUGGUAGAGCUCCAACUAAAGUAAAUUGCUUGUAGUUCAAUAGAAGGGAUUGUGUAUAUGUAUUUUAAAUUCCAAUGGUUAGUGUGAAGAAAUGACACAUAAUCAAUCUUAUACAACUCAUUUCCCCAUCUUCUAUAACAUAUGGUGUUUUUGUUCCAAUCCUAAGUUCCAUUAUAGACUGAUAACUCUUGGUUUUCAAUACUUUUAUAGAGUAAUUGCAUUUUCUUGAGGUUUUUUUUUUGUUUUUAUUUUCUAAUUUUAGAUUAGAUUUGUAUUUUCUUCCAAAUAAUAUAGUUUUAAUAAAAAUAUCAUUAAAAUUGCAUUUUAUAGUUUUUAUUUUGCUUGAAUCAUCUAACGUGUGCUUUGAUCAUUUAAAGGAACAAUUUUUGAAUUGCUUUUGAUCUUGGAAGCUUGGAAGAAGAUGUUGAUGCAUGGAGAUUGGAAACCGACACUUAAAGAGCAUAAAUUAUGCAAAAAUCAGGCAACUAACAGUAAAGAGUUAGUAGUAAAUUGGAACUAGAUGAUCAACUUAACCCUCAAAGAAAGAACUUAAGUUAGUUUAGAAUUGAUCUUUUGGGUCCAAUUGAAAGCCCAUCGUUUGUAAAAAUUAAAAACUCUAUAGAGUAUACAACACCAUUUUUCACUUUAGGCCACGUUGACAUGUCAACGGGUAAAAAAGUGUUGCCUGAAGUAGGUAUAAGUAACAGUUUGUUAUUGUUGUCCAUGCAGUAAGGCUUAUUUCUCUGUGAAAAAUAUUUGGAAAAACGUUGUCUAUUUAUUUUAAGCAACAUUUUAAAAAACGUGGGAUAAGUUAUUAAAAUGUGAUUACUUUAGGCAACGUUUUUAGAAAUGUGGAUAUUUAAUUUUAGCAUUUUAGGCAACAUUUUUUAAAAUACGGAAGCUUUAACUAAUAUUUUAAAUAAUAUUUUUAAAGUGAUUAAAUAACUUUUAGGCCAAGUUUUUAAAUUGUGGAUAAUUAAGCCCACGUAGUGUAAAGACUCGAAAUUCACCUUGUCAUUGAGCUCGAAGUUCGGACUCGAGACUAAGACUCUUGCAUAUAGACAUUGAACCAGGGGAAAUCGCGUCUAAACCCUAAGUUGAAACGAGAAUUCAAAGUCAUUUGUUACGAAUCAAGAGCGGCAUUGUGUGAAUUUUGAUCAACGGUUCAAGGUAACCAGGAGAAAUCGCCUCUAAACCCUUAAGUCAAAACGAGAAUUCAAAGUCGUUCGUUACGAACCAAGAGCGACAUUGUGUGAGUUUCGAUCAACGGUUGAAGGUAACUAGGAGAAAUCACGUCUAAACCCUAAGCUGAAACAAGAAUCUGAAGUCGUUCUUUAUGAAUCAGGAGUGACAUUGUGUGAGGUUCGAUCAACGGUUGAAGGUAAACGGUACGUUCUUCAAAUUGAUUCACCCUUCUCCAUUUCAGGUCAAUCAAUUUCUCUGUCUUCGUAUUAAUCUUUUGCUUCCGUGAUGCAUCACAAUUUUUUUUCCUUUUUAUCAUUGUUUUUCAAUCAUUAUGAUUUUUUUAGGGUUGUUUUUCCAUAUGGUUUUGUUAAUUUGCAUUUUUUUAUGAUUCCCAACAGUGAUUUGAUAAUAUAUGUAGAAUUAUGAGUGUUUAUUUUCCUGUUGAGUUGAAGUUUGGAAUGAAUAUUGGUGUUUUUGUAUUUUGGAGUAGGAGGAUCACAUGUGAAGUUAGAUGAGAUGUUGUUAACAAGACGUAACUCAUGUGGGAUUGGAAUAAUUACUCAACCAUAGUAAUAAGCAGCGAAUAAUAAUUUCCUCAACUUGUAAGAAUUUGUGAGGAUCAAUAACAAAUAAUGGCAACAACAAAAAAUACAUUGAAGAAAAAUACAAAAUUAUUAAUGUAAAAAACCUUUCCAAUGUGAGAAGUAAAAAUCACAUACACAAACCAGUCAAUCAAAUUUCACUAUAAUCAAAAUUAAAAGAGAGUAUCAUAUUAGCACAAAUUACCCUUAAUAAUCACGUUCUUAGUCUUCCGAUAGUUGUUUUCGUAUACUUGGAACCUAAUUACUUGAGUGAAGGCUAACACUAGAAGAUUCAACACAAGACCGUUUAACCUACCCACAUUUAUAAUUCAAUUAUUACUAUCAGUUGGAGGAGACAACAAAUAAAUAUCAAGCUAUUAAGGUUAAUAUCUUUUAUCUUCAAUAUACAAGUGGUUGACAGCUGCAACAAUCUCAAAGUUUCCAAGGGCCUUGCCACCUGCACUGAACAAUCAAUGAGAGAGUAAUGAUGUGAUGAAACAAAAAAUGAAAAAAAAAUUGCAGCCUCUUGUAUCAUUCAAUCCUAGUGUUAAAGCUCUUCUCUACCAUCUUGUACUUUUCUGCAGUGGAAAGUUUUGACUUCAGCAAUCCAUCAACUUGGUCUUUUCCCUCUGUAGCAAUGAAUGAUCUAUUUAACAAUACCACUUCCAUUGGACUUAACAAAGCUCAAAUGGAUUUUGUUCAAAACUACCUCAAUACCACUACCAUUGCACUUCUUUCUCUAAUCCUCUUUUGUUUAUUCUUCUACAAUCCCUUCAAUUUUUUUCACACCAAAGAGGCUCCCACUGUUGCAGGAGCAUGGCCAAUACUUGGUCACCUUCCACUUCUGAGUGGUUCAAAGAGACCCCAUAGAACUUUGGGUGCUUUGGCUGACAAAUAUGGACCCAUUUUCACCAUCCAACUUGGUGCCAAAAGGGCUUUGGUAAUCAACAACUGGGAAACGGCAAAGGAAUGUUUCACCACAAACGACAUGGCCGUUUCCUCUCGCCCCAAGCUCAUCGCGAUUGAACUCAUGGGCUACAAUGCCAUGUUUGGCUUUGUACCCUAUGGUCCCUAUUGGCGCGAGUUACGAAAGAUUGUAACUUUAGAAAUCCUUACUACUCGUCGAGUGGAACAACUGCAGCAUGUUCGUGUCUCAGAACUUCAAAACUCGAUCAAAGAGUUGCAUAAUGUUUGGUGUAGCCAAAAGAGAGAGUCUGGCUAUGCCUUGGUGGAGCUGAAGCAAUGGUUUUCUGACCUCUCAUUCAACAUGGUUCUUCGAAUGGUCGUUGGGAAGAGAUAUUUUGGUGGUGAAAACUUGCAAGAUGAGAAGACAAAGAGAUGUGUGAAGGCUGUGGAGGAGUUCAUGCGUCUGUUGGGGGUGUUCACAGUGGGAGAUGCUGUUCCAUGGUUGAGAUGGUUUGAUUUUGGAGGGCAUGAGAAGGCAAUGAAAGAAACUGCGAAAGAGUUGGAUAGUAUUAUAGGUGAGGAGUUAGAGGAACAUAGAAAAAGGAAGGGUUUGGGUGAGAAGGUUGAUGAAGCUCAAGAUUUCAUGGAUGUAAUGAUUUCAUUGCUUGAUGGAACAACUAUUGAUGGGAUCGAUGCAGAUACCAUGAUCAAAUCCACCCUACUGGUAUGAAUGUUUAAUUUACACGUUAUAAUGCUUUUGAAAUGUGAAACUUUAAGAAAAUUAAACACGUAAAUACAACAUAGUUCUUAAUUAAAUCUGAAAUAUUUUCUCAGGAACUUACCUCAGAUAUGAAGAUAUGUAUUUUACUUCGUCGGUUUAAAAUCAGUUGUAUGAAAAUAUAAGGUGUAACACUUUCGUUAAUGAUGUAAAAACAUUACAAAAUUCUUCACGAAAGUGUGUUUUAUCGUCUUUACCGUUUAUAUGGGAUUUGUUUGAUAGUGGGGAGAGAUAUAAGUGUUUUUUGGGAGAGUGAGUAGUGAUGUUGUGAUUGGGGGAGAAAGGGUAGUGAGGUUGAGAAUGGAGAUAUUGAUGGUGGAAAGGGACAUUUGUGGUGUUGCUUGAAUGAAAAUCAAUGGACCACCACUUACAAUUUUUUUUUCUGUUUUCUACUUAGAUUUGGUUUUUGUGAAAAAUAAUGAUAUUUUUGAUAAAAAAAAAACAUGUAAAUUCUACAUCAUUAGUUUAGAAAUUGUUUACUUUUUCGAUGGUGGAAAUAUACAAUGAUUGUAGAACUCAUGCAAAUAAUUCCUAGAAAAUAAAUAAAAUUAAAUAACUUUUCUUGUAAAUUGAAAUUAACUUUAACCUAAGUUAUUUUAAAAAAUAAGUUUUUCAAAGAUAACCUUAAUUUUCUUCCCUGAAAUAUUUUCGUUCGGUAACUUGUUUGAUUUGCAGACAGUGAUUGCAGGAGGAACUGACACAAGCAAUACAGUUCUUAUAUGGACAAUAUCUUUGAUUUUAAGAAAUCCUUUGGUGUUGGAAAAAGUAAAAGAGGAACUAGAUAUUCAUAUUGGGAAAGAAAAAUGCGUAAGGGAAUAUGAUAUAAGUAAGUUAACAUAUCUUCAAGCUAUAGUAAAAGAAACUUUAAGAUUGUAUCCUCCUGUUCCUCUUUCGGUACCUCGUGAAUUCAUAAAAAAUUGCACUUUGCAAGGCUACAAUAUAAACAAAGGAACCCGACUAAUCACAAAUCUUUGGAAGAUUCAUACAGAUGGUAAUGUUUGGGAAGAUCCUUUGGAGUUCAAACCAGAAAGGUUUCUUACAACUCAUAAAGAUAUUGACAUCAAAGGCCAUCAUUUCGAGUUAUUACCAUUUGGAGGUGGCAGAAGAAUGUGUCCAGGAGUAUCCUUUGGACUUCAAAUGGUGCAUUUCAUUCUUGCUAGUUUUUUGCAUUCUUUUGAAAUUUUAAGUUCAUCACCUUAUACUAUAGACAUGACUGAAACCUUUGGAUUAACCAACACCAAAGCCACUCCACUUGAUAUUCUUAUUAAACCGCGUCUAUUUCUUAGUUGUUAUGAAAACAACAAAUCCUUGUAUUAACCACGUGGUUACAUUGUAUUUUUAUUCAAAGUACUUUUUGUUCCUACUAAAUAAUUCAAAGUACUUUUUGUUCCUACUAAAUAAUUCAAAAUACUUGUUAUGUUUGUAGUUCCUCUAAUAAAUUAUUUAAAACGGUGUAUAUUUAUUAUAUAUUUGUAUUUUUUUUUCAUAAAUACUUGUAGUAUUUGUAGUUUAUCUUUGUAAGUUUUGUAACUCUUUCA
This 67713-nucleotide long non-coding RNA is filed under the name Phaseolus vulgaris (common bean). RNAcentral describes it as "long non-coding RNA (PVUL_LNC003278)". Lineage: Eukaryota; Viridiplantae; Streptophyta; Magnoliopsida; Fabales; Fabaceae. The record is from RNAcentral.